UAUAUAUAUAUAUAUAUAUAUAUAUAUAUAGUAGGGCUAGAAUACUUGUAAAAGUAUCAUGGGGGUGAUACUUGUGUGUUUUUAGCCCUUGGUUGGAGAGAUGUGAGGUUGAGAUGAUGGUGGUAGGUGGUGGUAGGUGGAAUAAUGUUUAAUCCAAAGGCUAUUAAUAAUCAAAAAGUAGAUCCAAUAGCUUAAAACCUAAUAGCACCAUGAUGGUGAUACUUGUAAAAGUAUCAUAGCUCAACCUCUCUCUCUCCCUCUAUAUAUAUAUAUAUAUAUAUAUAUAUAUAUAUAUAUAUAUAAAAGUUAUGCACAUAGAUUUAAUUAAUAUUUAAAUCUUAAUUUAUCUCAAACAGAUUUAAAUAUUAAUUUCUAUCCAAUAGGAUUAACUACAAAUCUAACCAAUCCUAACAUUCUCACCUUUGGUUUCGAUUGUAAUUUCAAGCGCUACGUCGAGCUCACCAUGCAAGCUCCACCUUGAGCUUGUCUCCUACCGCUCGAUGUCGCCGCGAUCCGUCGCUCCGUCUCGAGCAAUUGCACAUCCGCGGAACUUUUGAACCCAAACGCUCUUCGCUCCCGUUUCUGACUGUGCUCCCCGUUCAGAACGUAUAAGUUCUACGCUUGUUCGCCUCGCAUACGACCGAUCUCAUUUUCGGACCUCAUAGCUCCAACCUAAGCUGAAAUAUCGCCACCCUCGAGUCCAAAUGCGCCUAACGAGAUCAAAUUCCGCUUCAAUCCAGGAACGUGCCGCACACCUGUCAGCGUCCUCACGACCCCAUCGUGCAUUCGGAUUUUCACCAUGCCGACUCCCAAUACUUUGCACGCUGUCCCGUUCCCCAUCAGCGCCUUUCCACCUUUGAUCGCCCUUAUAAGUGGCAAAAGACUCCUUCUCCGGACAUACGUGAAAAGAACAUGCCGAAUCGAGCACCCACGCAUCGUCCGAAAUUUUCGCACCUCCGGUCGCCGCAUACAGCACAUUAGAAUCGAUCAUCUCCGACUCUGCUGUCUGCGCUAUCGCUGAUACCGUCUCGUCCUGGUUCACGACAGUUUGCUCCUUCUGUCGCUUUAACUCCUUCAGAUCAUCCUAAAGUUUUCGACAAUUGCGCUUGAUAUGCCCCUUCUUGUGACAGUAAAAGUAUUCUACCUCAGAUAGCGGUUUCUUCUGUCAAUAUCCGGUCGCCAAUAUUCUCACCUCCUUCUUCGCAGUCACCACCAGUCAGUCCUACAUCCUGACUUUGCGUGCCUGACUCCUGAGUCAUCUUCCGCAUCUCCUUCGAGAGAAGUGCCGCCGUGACCGCCUCCACACUUAUGGACUCCUUGCCAUAAAGCAACGUGGUCACUAGAUGCUCAUAUGUCGUCGGUAGCGAAGAUAGUAGGAUCAACGCCUUGUCUUCGUCAUCCAGAUUGACUCCGAUGCUGGUCAACUGGGCCACCACCUUGUUGAACUCAUUUAGAUGAUCAUGUAGGCUCGCCGCUUCAUGCAUCCGCAACGUAAACAGUCGUUGCUUCAAAUACAAUCUGUUCGUCAGGGAUUUGGUCAUGUACAGAUCUUUCAAUUUCUUCCACAAUUUCGCCGGUGUCGUCUCGCCGGCUACGUUGUAAAGAACCUCAUCUGCUAAUAAUAGAUGAAGCGUACUCAGUGCCUUCCACUCCAUCUUCGUCCAUGCCGCAUCCGUGACCUUCGCCGGCUUCACCUCCUUUCCGUUCAACGUUUCAUCUAACUCUUGUUGUACGAGGAUCGCCCGUACUUUAAUCUGCCACAAUCCGAAAUUGUUCUUGCCGUUGAACUUCUCGAUUUCGAAUUUCGUGGCCAUCUCCGUCGAUCUCUCCCGCAGAUCGGUAACCUUCGGCUCUGAUACCACUUGUUGGGAAUCCGAUACUCGCCCCGGUACCGAAUCUCGUGAAUCCGCAACCCGCUCCGAUACUAACUGCUGUGGAUCCGAUAUCGAUUGUUGGGAUUCCGCAACCGAAGCGUCGAAUCGGAUUUUUACCAUAAACCCGUCUCCUCAACAGAAGCUUUCUCUCGUCUUCUAUAAAUCCAUAAAGAAAAACAAUCAUCCACGCGCACCCGUGCACUAGGUGCACUCAAUAACUCUCUCUCUCUUUUUCUCUCUCUGGUACGACACCUCCAGGCUCUCAACCGUACUACUCCCCCAAAAAAGAGACCCACAAUGCCUAUUUAUAAUGCUCAACUUAAAACGUACCCCAAUCCUAAUAUAUUUAGGAUUCAUACUUUAAUUAAUAUCUAAAUCUAUAUUAAUCAAUCUCUAAUAGAUUUAAAUAUUAAUUCUAAUCUAGUUAGGUUUAUCCUCUAAUUAAUAUUUAAAUCUUAAUUUAUCUCAAACAGAUUUAAAUAUUAAUUCUUAUCUAAAUAGGAUUUAACUACAAAUCUAACCAAAUCCUAAUAGAGAAACCACUUGCAACCUACCCGACCUAGGAACCUAGGUCUACACUUUAUUCCAGGCCGAGCGGACCGCGGGCGUCGUAGAAGAAGGAGGGUCGAAUAGAGAGAGAAAUGAGAGAAAGGAUCAGGUGAGGGUAAAGAGAGAUGAUCGGGGAGUGGGGGCAGCUAGAGGUAAGGGAGGGAAAGAGAAAGAAAGAGGCUCGGAUAGGAGAGGGGUAAAAAGAGAUAGAGAGCGAGCAGUAAAGGGGGAAUGAGAGAAGAAAGAGAGAAGAUCGGGUAGAUGGGUGAGGGAGUGGGUUGUGAAGAGAAAAAGCGCUAGCUGGAGAGGAGGGGAAGAGAGAGAGAGGCUCGGGGUUGAGGGGAGGGGAAGAGAGAGGCUCGGAUAUGAGAGGGGUAAAGAGAGAGAGCCAACAGUAGAAAGGGGAGAUGUGGAACCUGGGAGCUUUCCUCUUCCAAAUAGGAGUCAAUGGGGGGCAUUCUUGCAGCAACAGGGCAUUCGAGAACAGUAACUAUGGCACAGCAGCUACGGAUUGGGAAUCAAUGGAUUCGGAAGCAGUGUCUUGACCUGACCAGGAAGAAAGACCGGAAGAGGACCGGGUGCAGGGAUGAGGGGUAGGGUGUGAAGAGAGAGAGCGCCAGUUGGAAGGGAGGGGGAUAGAGAGAGAGAUGCUCGGGUAGGAGGGGAUGGGAAGAAAUAGAGAGGCUCGGGUAGGAGAAUGGGGAAGAGAGAGAGAGCCAACUGGUGAGGUAGGGAGAGAGAGAGGGGCCACUAGAGGCCUCGCCACGUGGAAUGAAGGAGAGGAAGGGGUGCCACGUGGGAUUUGAUGAAAGUGUCAAAUGAUAUAGUGUUAGGAUAUAGAAGUAUAGAUUAUUAAAACUAAAAGAAAAAAUAUUUUUUUUAUUUGUAAAAUCUAAAGAGAAUUUGCGCCAAACGUGUGAUCAAAAUGGUUAUAUAAUUAAUAAGUUUGAUUGAAGAGAAAAGCCUAUUGAAUUAUUUGAUAAAGUUUAAAGGGCAAAUUUUGAAACUUAAAAGCUCAGGCGCCGUUUUGGAAACCUGCUAAAUUUUAGGAGGUUUUUUACAUCAUUCCCCAAAAUAACAAAAAAAUGAAGAUAUACUCUAUAAAAAAUAGAAAAUAAAAGGGAUAAUUUCAUAAGUAUCCCUACAAGGACUUAAAGUUGCGGAUUUAUCCUUCCAACACUUUUUCUUUUUGAGACGGAUCCUUACAAUAUUUUAAUUAUCAAAUAUUUUUCUCUAAAUUUGCAAAAUGUAAAAAUUUAUCUCUGACUAUUAUUUUUUGUUGUUGUUUGUAGUUAAAUUUUCAUUGUUAGAACAUUAUGCCCUUUAAAAAACAGCUUUGUUAAAAAAAAAAUUAGAACAUAUAAAUUUAUACCUCAUGUAGAAUAAAAUGAAAGUUACAAUAAAAUUAUUAAAAAUAAUAAAUAUAAUUUAAAAUAUAUUUAUCAAGGGUCUGAUAGUUAUUUUGUUGAAAAAAGAGGUUAAUUUAGACAGUCAUAUAAAGAUAAGGCACCUAUUUGGUAAUUAUGCAAUUUGAAGAGAUAUAUUUGAUAAUUAAAACUAGUGAUGCGAAUAUGAUGAAUCCAGAUAGAUUUAUUCGGCCAUUUGUCCAGCUACCUUAUAUCCCCACUGUCGUUGUAAUGUAAUAAAAUAUUUCUCUCAUGAUCUGCUCUAUCUAAGAAUCUGCUUUCUACUGGCGACCUAAAUCUGUCCUGCCAAUUUUUUUUUUUGUUAUUCAAAUUUAAUUUUAAAUAUAAUUAAAUAUUUGUUAUUUUAAUGAAAAUAAAAUUUAAAAUAAUAAUAUUACAAUUGAAGCAACUAUUUUUUAAUUAUAUUUAUGCUAGGAAUCAAUAACAUUUAAAACUAAAAUAAUAACAAAGAGUGGAUUUAGGGUAGAUUAUUUUUUUUCAGCAUUCUAAAAUGGUCCGAUUUAUUCCUCAAAUCAAUUUAUUAUUUUGGGUUAAUUGCAUACAACUCCCCGUAAACUUAUUGAAUAAUAGAUAUAUUCCUACAAAAUUCAACAUUUUACUUUUAUCCUUGCAAAAGUCCUAUAGUUUACAAAUAUACACUGUUGUUAGGAUCCGUAAGAAAAAUAUAGUUAAUCAUGAGUAAAAUAUUUAAUUCUGAUUAGUAAAUGAGUUAAAUUAAUCUUUUUACCUUUCUUAUAUUAUUGGAUAAAAUACUUUUGGGGAGGAUAUUUCUGCAUAAUUCUUUUGGAGGAAUAUAUUUGUAAGAGCAAAAAUAUUAUUUCACUUAACUGCUGUUAAAAAAUAAAAAGCGCUCCAGCGAUAAUAAAGCAAAGGGGCAAAUAUGAAUAUCACUAAACAUUUAUAGGAAUAAAAAUAAAAAUUAAAUUUUAUGGGGAUAUAUUUGUUAUUCGAUAAGUUUACAUAGAACCUUAUUAUUUUUCAUUUCCUAUUCCAUUGCGGAUCGGAGCGGAACCACUGCCACUCCGAAUCCAUUUGCAUUGCAGCUAAAAUACUAUUUCGCUAUUUUGUAGGGACACAUAUGCAAUUUAACUCGCAAUAAAACCCUCCCCGGGGGACAUGCGCCGUUCCUAAAACCCUCCGCUUCGUGAACCCUCGCUUCCUCUGCGCGAGAUCGUCCCCAGUUCAACAACCUCUUCUUCCUCCUCCUCGGCGACCAUCUCCGCCGCGGCUCCUCGCCGGCGCCGGCCCUCUCCCACCCCACGCCACCGCCGCCUCCUCCUCCGGUGCCCUUGAAAGCNCCUGCUCCCCACCGCCCUCCCCUCCGUAGUAAGCUCGCACGUGGGUGGGUGCUGAGAUCUCUCUCUGGAGAGAGAGAGAGAGAGAGAGAGAGAGAGAGAGAGGUAGGGUUACGAUGUUGCGCCGGAACACGCGGCUGAGGAGGGAGUACUUGUACCGCAAGAGCUUGGACGGGAAGGAGAGGGAGAAAUACGAGAAGAAGCGGAAGAUCGACCAAGCCCUAAAAGGUUAGAUCCAAACUACCCCUCUUAAUUCAUUUUCCUUAAUGUUUUUCGUGUGUUAUCUCCUUUGGAUUGUGAUGUGAUGAGGGUUUUGAUUGGAUAGAGGGGAAGCCGAUACCCUCCGAGCUCCGGAACGAAGAGGCCGCGCUCCGUGAGGAGAUCGAUCUCGAGGACGAGUACACCGCAGGUUCGGAUAGAUUCCUUUUAUUUUUUCCUCAAAUUGAAAUCAAUUAUUUAAAUAACUUGGAUUAUUGUGUUCCUUUUGGAGAUUUUACCGCCCUUGUACCUGUGGCAACUUAACUUUGGCAUUGCUAUCAUUAGUAGUUUCCAUUCCAUUCAAACCAUCUCUUUCCACAUAUAACUGAAACUUGGUAACUGUUUCUAAAUCCCUUGUUUUCGUAGCUAUCGGAAUCAAUUUUCAUGUCGGAUUUUCUUUGCCUAUUUUUGGUCAAAAUAUAUAGAACUUUGAACUACUGCUCAUUUUGAAGUAGUUACCUGGAAUUUAGAAAUUUUCACUUUACUUCCUGACCUUUGAUUUUGAAAUAGAUUCCUGAAAUUUUUAUUUUUUUCGCUUUACAACAAUUUUGACAUAAUAUUCCCACAGGUUACUGAACAUUUUGGUAGAUUGCAGAAUAUUCUAUCAAAAUGGCGCACAUACUGCCAAUGUUAGGUAGUAAAAGUUUAGAUACUUAUUUCAAAAAAGCUACAAGAAUAUACAAUCAAAAUUUUAUUGUUCAGGUUUCCGUUUCAAAAUAUGCUAUAGUUCAAGUAAGUUCUGUACAUUUUCACCCGUAUCUUUUGUGACAUUGAGGCAGCAUGGACUCCCUUCCUCAUUAUGAGUUAUGACUAAACUUGAUGAAACAUGUUGUUAAUGGGUCACCUUGAUGCAUUGCCCAUAUGACUUGCUUGAGAUAAUUUGAUCAAGUUCUAAUGCGUUUCUACUAUAAAUUCAACAAUGAUGAUCAUUUAAAAGUUGAAUUGCCACAUUUAGCAGUUUGGUUCACAAAUUGUACUUUGUAGGGAUAGUUGAAAUUUUGCAGAAUGAUCAUAUAAGAAAGUUCCAGAAAAAUGUAUUUUUAGAAUUUGAUUAUCUAAAUAUGAUUGUGCAUCUUUAUGAUGCAGUCUGUGCUCUGGUUUCAUAUGCCGGAUUUGCUAUGUUCACUUUGCUAAACAAGAUUAGUUCAAUUUUUUCCAUUGGAGUUCCUGUUAUGUUUACUCAUGGUUGCAUGUAUAUUUACUUGUUUAAUAUAGACACACAUGCGAGAGUGCGUGCGCACGUGCGCACACACACUCACCCACCUCACACACUUACACGGCACAUGUGCGUGCGCACACACAUGUACAGGCAUGUACACAUGCACGCACUCAGACGCGCGUACACGCACACGCACAGGCACACACGUGCACGUACCCACACACACACACCCGCACAUGCACACACCUGCACGCACCUGCACACAGUAGCUUGCACGCACGCACACAUGCGCGCGCGCACACGCGUGCACACGAACGAUUCAUAUAUUGUAUUGUUAUUCUGUUCAUAUUUCUUUUAUGUGUAUGAUUCACGCAUGCACGAUUCAUAUAUUGAACUGUUACUGUUCAUAUUUUUUUUAAUGUGUAUGAUUAUAACUAAUUUUUCAUGCAAACCCUAUAUGCACACUGAACUUUUGUCGUUUUGGUGAUGGAUUUAGUGCCAAGAGCUCUCAUUGAUGAUGAAUAUGCCACUGCAUCAGAAAAGGAUCCAAAAAUUUUGUUGACCACAUCUCGCAAUCCAAGUGCACCCUUAACUCAAUUUGUGAAGGUGAAUAAUCUUUUCUUAUUCUUAUGGAAGAUAAUUUUCUUUUCGAUUGUAUUCAUUUAUUAGUCUUGUCACUGAGUUGAACAUUCAUAUUGUUUUAUUUCAGGAACUAAAAAUUGUCUUUCCUAACUCAACAAGAAUGAAUCGUGGUGGUCAGGUAUCAUUUCUUUUAUUAUUGUGGCUGUUAACUAUUUUCAGUUGGGAAGUAAGAAACAUGUCCAUGCUAGGGAAAGGGUAGCCCUUGCAUGAGGUACCCUUUCUGUGUGUAUUUGUUAUGUCUGUUUCCAUCAUUCGAUCUAAUGGUGCCAAUAUUUUGAUUGGAGCAACGUAUCUCGAAUUCAUACAUCUACUGAUUUUCACCUUUCCUACUAAAAAUUAGCUUCUCAUCUAAUCUACUCCUAUGUGACUAUUGAUUGUUCCCUGCUAAAACUGAUCUUCCCAUUGCUAGAACUCUGUUAACUUUUGGAUGGUCGCUUGCUUAUGCAACUUUGCUUUGUACCGAAUUAUUAACUGUAGAUAGAGUUUAAUAUUUUCAAUUUCCCAAUAUUUCUCAUAUUUUGAUGUUUGUUUUGCUAGUGCAUGACAUAUCUUGCUAAUUGCUAGUGCAUGGCAUCAAAUUGGUUUAAAUUUUAUAUUUGGCUGGCUUGCUUUAUUUCAUCAAAACUAGUUCUUUAUAGGUGAUCUCAGAAAUUAUCGAGUCUUGUCGUGCACAUGACUUCACUGAUGUUAUUCUGGUGCAUGAACAUCGGGGCGCGCCUGAUGGUUUAAUUGUCUGCCAUUUGCCAUUUGGUCCAACUGCAUACUUUGGACUAUUCAAUGUGGUAAGUACAUGUAUUACCUUGUUUUUUGUUUGUGUUGCUUCGAAUUACUCGGUGCAUGGUUUUCAAUUUCUGGUGGUAGGUGACAAGACAUGAUAUUAAGGAAAGGAAGGCUAUGGGAACGAUGUCGGAGGCUUAUCCUCACUUAAUCUUUGAUAAGUUCUCUAAGCAGGUACUUGCUUAUUUUCAGCACCUUAAUAGCUCAAGUCAAUAAUAUAAUCCGCACUUGAUACAAUGGAAGUUUCUUCUUGUAAAACUGCUUAUGAUGCAAUCACCCAUUAUAAAAGCUGCAAAUCCAUAAAUUUAUGAAAAGUUGUUUUUUUAUUUGGCAUCAGCUAUCUGAUUUCCACUUAAAGAAACCUACUAUUAGAUUGCUUAAUGAGCUAGGUCUGCACUUGUUGUAGUUGUAUGAAAAAUUACAACCGUGGUUAUAACAGGGAAAUUCGCUUCUUGUCUGUAUAUCUUUUCGCUAAACUCUUUUCUGUCUUCUUCAUGCAGCUUGGUCAAAGGACUAGUAAUAUUUUGAAACAUCUCUUCCCUGUACCAAAACCAGAUUCUAAACGCAUCAUUACUUUUGCCAAUAACACCAAUUACAUCUCAUUCAGGUUUGUGCCUACAUGUUACUAUAUUUUGUAUGUUACCUUAUCUACAUAAUUGAUUCUUUAUUGAUUUAUUUAGCCAUAUCAUGGAAUAUUGACUAAUACGAAUGACUGUAAAAAAUGUAAUGAGAUGUACUGAACUAUCCAUCAUUUUAGCCCUCUGAACCCAUGGACUACAGAUCUUCAACAAAACAAAUGUAACUGUGGAAAGUAUAUUUGUUGAAUAGUAUUUUAGUAGCUUUAGAUUAAUGCUGGAUUGCACAGUGCCAUUCUCAUGGAGGAUAAAUCUGAUACAUAUAACAAUAACAAGUUACCACAGUCCUUCAUUAUGUUACUUUCUAUUCUCAUGUCAAUUUUUUUCCCUUUUUUUUCAUCUGAUUCUUGUAAAUUUGAAGGAUGCCAAGUUUUCAAUUUGUAGUGGAGGACUUCUUCUAAGCACCUUGAAUAUUGGAGGUUUUCCUAUUAGUUGCAUUGCGCACUCCUUGGUGCAUGCAGACUAAAUUUUAGGUGAUCUCCAUGGAGUGUCGAGAGACUUUGAUCGUCCUCAUCAUUAUAAUUUAAUAGAACAUUGACAUGAGUUUAUAGUAGAGGGAACUGAUUGCAAAAAAUUGAGUUGCUGUUUGGAGAGAUUCACUGCCACUCAUCGGAAGAAUGGCACAAAGUUGCUUUCACUCCAAUUAUGUGAAAAAACUUCCCAACUUGGAUGCCAUGUAGGUUUCCAUUUAUUUGAAACUUCAGAAAGCUUAAAUGCCAGUACUGGUAAAGUGGUUGAUGGUAGGUUACUUCCCUUCUCUGGUACUAACAAGAGCUUGAUCGUAUGUUUCGACAUUUUAUUGCAAGCAAGCGUGUCCCUAUUUUCGACAAGUUGAAUUAGUAAUUGUGCUUGUAUUUGCUAGUAUCACCUUUCAUAUUUGACCCACGUACAUUUGGUUUGUCUGUAAAGGCAUCAUGUCUACGAAAAACGCGACGGCCCGAAAUCUAUCGAGUUGAAGGAGGUCGGUCCUCGGUUCGAGCUACUGCUUUAUCAGGUUAGCGAGCUUAUCUGACUAAUUAGUGCAUACUAUAUUCCGUCCUUUAUAAAAGCGAUCGUUGCCGAGUCUAAAAUUACCAUUUUUCUGUAUCUCCUGUGUAGAUCAAGCUAGGCACAGUCGAACAAACCGAAGCCCAAAACGAGUGGGCACUUAGACCGUUCAUGAACACCACCAAGAAUCGAAAUUUCCUUGGAGAGUAGCGUGCGUACUGCUUUACAUAUUAUUUCGCGCUUGUCUUCUUAUUUAUGCUUUUUACUGUAUCAUUUUGGGCGCCAUCUUUUUAAAUUUUCAUUUGCUCUAUGCUUCGCAAGUCGCUUUCAAGUGCGCAACUUCUUUACACUUCAUGUUGUCUUUCGUCACUAUGUAGAAAAUAUGGGUUCUCAUAGAAAGGAAUUACCGAGAGAACGUUUUGCGUGUUCUUUGGAUGCGGUAUGUUUUGCCUUGUCAUGUUUUAUCAUUUUAGGAGCUUAACAUUUAUAUUGUAAUAUCUCUCUUUGAUGACCAUACAAACCAACACAACUAUUUGCAUUAGUGAUCCUCUCCCCACAAUAGUUUGAAACCAAAUUGCUUGAUUCGGCAUUUUGAAUGGCACAUGACAUGUCUUCGGAAGUUCGCCUUUUUUUUUUUUUCAGUUCGGUUUUUAGGGAAUUCUCAAUCCGAACCGAAUUUUUUGUUUUGAAAAAAUCCAGAGCUGAACCAAACUGAUUUAUCAAAGGAAUCAAUCCAAACCAAACCGAAUUAAUUCUGUUUGCUUUGGUUUUGCUAGUAGCUUUUGAAACUCUUAUUUUUUCUAAUCUGAGCAUAAAUAUUGAGUUUCAAAUACAUGGUUUACAUAAACAGCAGUAAUAUUAUUAUUUGGUUUUCAGUUCGGUUCGGUUUUCGGUUUUGAACAGUUCUAAAACCAAUCCGAAAUCGAAAGUCGAAUUUUAGCAAUUCUCAAAACUGAGUCAAACCGAAAAUCAUAUAAACUGAAUCGAACCGUCUUCUUUGGUUUGAUUUAGUCUGGUUUUUGGUUUGGAACCAAACUAUGAAUACCCCGACCUGUAAACCCGACCAAAGGUCUGGUCGAAACGCAGCCUGGGUUCUGGGCUCAUCUGUUUCGCUGGAUCUCCCCCGUGGAGGUAACUCAUCUCGUCAAUCCGUGAAAGUUGGAGAUCUGACACGGGGAGCUGUCAGAGGGGUUUAGGGUUGCAGAGAAUCUGCUCCGACCUCGUGCAUAGCGCGAGGUCAUGACUUCAUGAACUUCAGCCUCCCGCCGCUUUUUGCCUAUGGCCCUUUGCUCCUUUGCUUGUUUCUGGGGUUUCUACAAUUGUAUGGCUGGUGUGUACAAAUUUUGGGAAUUUUCUUUGUAGAUCCCUGACUUUUGAGACAAUUUGAAAAAAGUUCUCAACUUCUUGAUUUCAAUGAAUGUCUUUGAAUUUUGAUUUUCUGUUAAAUUUUGAAAAUUUUCUUUGUAGAUUCCUGACUUUUGAGACAAUUUGAAAAAAGUUCUCAACUUCAUGUUUGCAAUGAAAGUCUUUAAAUUUUGAUUUUUUCUUAUAAGAAAAAAAAAAAGGAAAGAGGGAAAAAGAUCUGCCGAGCAUAUCUUAGACCUAGAUUGAUGACUCUGCGGCCAAAAUUAUCAUUAAGAAAAUUUUUGAUAGUUUUAAUUAUUUGAAAGUGUAAAAUCAUUCUCAACUACUUUUUUGUGGUCUUUAUUAUUCCAUUUGUUUUAUUAUUAUUAUUAUUAUUAUUAUUAAAGCUCUAAAGAGGUUGUAUCAUUUUUUGAAUACAUGAGUGUAUGGGUUGAUCCUUCGUCUUGUAUUAGGUUAUUAUUUAAGAUACAAUUUAAUUUCUACAUAAAUGCUUAUUGUGAACCGUGAACGCUUACUUUUUUUUUUUUGUUUUUUCCUUAUUUGAUUCACCAUAGCUUUUAUUUUUUAAAAAAUUGUAAUUGAUUUUGCUGAUUUUGCAUUGGGUGGCGUCGCAGUCAAUUUUACUUUUAUUCUUAAUUACUUUGAAAUAACAAACUCUUUUGAGAAUAAAAAAAAUAUUAUAAAAUUUGUUAUUUUCGAACCAAACGGGAGCUAAAGUUUUUAAUACUUUUGUUGCUUCUUGAAAAAAAAAAACAUUCGUCUCUUAAAGUGGACAAUGCGAUGUUCCCAUUGGCUUUGUAAAACCGAUUAAAAAGAUUUUUAAAGUAAUGUAAAUUUGCUGCAAAAAUGUAAAAUAGCUAGGGGCCUCGUUUACUAUUAGGGAUGGUAAUGGAUAUGGAUACCCGAAAUUUUAUUCGAAUUCGAAUAGAAUAAUUUAUUCGAUACUAAAUGGAUAUAAUUUCGGAUAUGGAUAUCUAAAAAAAAAUCCGAUGGAUAUAGAUUCGUGUAUGGAUUUUAAUUGUAUCCGAUCCAAAUCCGAAUUAAUUUUACAUUAUGUAUGAAUGUAUGUAUAUGUCCGGGUCUUGUACUAUCCGUAGCAUGGAUCUCUAUGCUACCAAGUUGUUGCCAAUUAUGUGGUUUUUAAGUCGACGGUGGGCUCCAUUAUACUUGAUCUACAUUAUUAAGUAUUUAAAAAUCAAAUUUAAUAAUUUUUCGACAUCAUUUACCUAUCAAACGAGUAGUUUUAAAACAAACGGAUGAAAAUAAAAAAUUUAUAAAAAAUGGUGAUAAAAAAUUUGAAUUUAAGAUCAGAGUUACUGAUCUUACUUUGAAUAGCGAAUAAAAUUUUCUAUAAAAAUUUUAUUAGAUUUGGAUUGUUUUAUACAGUUAAAUUCACAAACGCAUCACAUCGAUCAUUAAAAUUAUCAAUUUUGAGGUUUUUGAUCACUAGUCAAAUAAUGUUGAAAAGUUAUGAAAUUUAGUUUCCAAAUACUUUCAAUAGUGUAGAUUAAGUCUAACGGAGCUGAUCGUUGAUUUGAAAGCCGCAUUAUUGAAAACAACUUGGUAAUACGAAGGCUUCCGUGCUAUCGAUUGUAUAGCAGCCUAGCUCGUGUGUGUGUAUAUAUAUAUAUAUAUAUAUAUAUAUAUAUAUAUAUAUAUAUAUAUAUAUAUAUAUAUAUAUAUAGUUGAGUUAGAAUACUAUCGGUAGCAAACGGGCUCCGUUGCCACCCAUUUGUUUUCGAUAAUGUUGACUAUUGCCUUUAAUUCUAUAUUUAAUAAAAUAUUACACUAACGUAUUUUAUUUACAUUAUGUUAUUGAAAAUUGUAUACUAAUAUAAUUUAUUAUUACACUUAUUUAUUUUAAUUUCAAGCAAAAUUAGCACACUCUUAUUACUUUAUAUUCUCUAAUUUUUAGGUUUUAAAAUAAAGUUACAGCGUGCCAAUAACCAAUGUGUGGUUUGCUAACUGUUUCAUAAAUAAGUAAUUAUAUUAUAUUUGUUUCUUAUUUUCAACUAUUUGUGUUAAUGUAUAAUGUAAUUUACUUUUACUCAUUAAAAAUUUUAUAAUUGCAAGAUUCAGUCUUACGUUAUUGGUAAAAAAUAAAAUAAGAUAUUAACAUAUACUGGGAAUACUAUUUGACAAAUUAGUUAAAAAGGAAGAAAUGCUUCUUAUCAUGGUUAGUUAAUUCGUGUUUAAUUCGCGAAUUAUUCACGAAUUUUUGAAGAAACGAAUUAAACAGCCGUUUCCGUAUUUUUCCGAAAAAUUUGAAAAAACAUAUUUUUUUCGUCAAAAAUAAUCAUUUGUGAAUUAUUCGCGAUUCACGAACGAUUCGUCCGAAAAAACGGCGCUCGUGGUUACGGACUCGCGGUCGCAUCGUCGCCGCUCUUGUCGCCUAACUCGUCCAUGUUGUCAUCGUCUUUCUCCUCCGCCGCCCUGGCCGGCGCUGGAAGCAAGAGGGCCACGGCGGCGGAUCCCGUCUCGCCCAAGGUCGUCCGCGGAAACUAUGUGGAACAGUAAAAAUAGCACAGCGUUGGGAGCUAGCACAGUGGUGGCAACUUGCGCGAGGAGGGAGGUCCACGGUGGACCUCCCUCUCAUUAAGUCAUAUAUAUAUAUAUAUAUAAUUAACAAACUUCUGUUUAAUAAGUAAGUGAUUCUAUUAUAUUUGUUUUUUAUUUUCAACUAUUUUAAUUAAAGUAUAAUGUAAAUUUAUUUUUACUCAUUAAAACUUCAUAAUUGUAUGAUCCAGUUUUACGUUAUUAGUAAAAAAUAAAAUAAUAGAUUGACACAUGUUGGGAAUGCUAGUUGAAAAAUUAGUUUGAAAGAAAGAAACACUCCUUGUAGCGAAAUUAAAAUAUAUUUUGCUUUUUCAAAACAGAAUAUAUUAUCACACUCUCGGUAUAUUAUUUGUAAUAUCAUAACCUUGACAUAUUAUUUUUAUAAAUUGGUAUAAAGUACAUAGUAAAUAAUAUUUAUUCAUUUUACAGUAACACUAUUGAGUCGACAAAUUUGUCGCAUAUAUUUUUUUGGUAGAAAAGUGACCAUACGGAGUAUCUUACUGUAAUCAAUCCCGUUAAAACUACGGAAUAGUAGUUUUACGAAAAAAUAAAAUAAUACUAUAUUUAGUAUUCCGUGGAACAUGAAUAACUUUGGAGGUCUAUUGGCUAAAAUGAAAGGGCAUACAGUAAUAAUUCAAUUGUCGACUUUUUAAGAUUUAUUUCGGCCACAUAUAAUCAAUUUUAGAAGAAUCGUGUUAUAUUGAGAUGCUAAGAUUCAAUUGUCGACUUUUUAAGAUUUAUUUCGGCCACAUAUAAUCAAUUUUAGAAGAAUCGUGUUAUAUUGAGAUGCUAAGAUUUAACUUUAUUUUCUUAUUUAUCAUAUGCUCUAUUUGUCUCUAAUAUCUAAUUAUGUAAUUAGAAAAAAAUAGGAUAUGAAUUAGCUGAUCUGCAUGAGUACAUAACACUUACUCAUAGAUAUAUAUAAUUAAUUAAUUAUACAUAUUUAUGAGUAAAUAUAUGGUACAUAUUAAUAUAUAUACUAUGUACAUAACACUUACUCAUAGAUAUAUAUAAUUAAUUAAUUAUACAUAUUUAUGAGUAAAUAUAUGGUACAUAUUAAUAUAUAUACCUAAUUAGUUAUGUACAUAAAACUUACUAAAUAUAUAUUAUUUUAAAAUUUUCAAAAAAAUUAAUUAGACGUUCUAUGUGCAUAACUUAAGAAAAAUUUUAAAAUUUUAAAAUCUCACAAUACUCUUUUAAAAAAACAAAAUAUGUCUUAAUUAAUUAAACGCUCUACCUUUAUAUGAGAAGUUUCUAUUCUUUUAUUUACUUUAUAGGAUUGCUAGUAUCGGAAAAGGAGUGAAGAUUGCUUAAGCACAUCUUCUACUUGAGUAAGUCUUAAUUUUAGUUAAUUAAUUUUCUUUUUUUGGUCUUAUUUCAUUGAUAGAUAAUUAUUGGUAGAUAUUAAUGGUAUUAUAUUUGAUGUUAGAUAUUAAUUUCUUGAUGUGAUCAAUUCACAGUAAAAGUAGGUAUGUUAUUUUAAUUUUAUACAAAUAAAAGUAUUUAUAUAUUAUAUGAUAAAUACAUAAAAUGGGCCUCCACAAAGCCUAAUAUUGGACUUGAGCUUGGGCCGAGUCUUAAUUUUGAAAAAAAAGGGGGAAAAGUCCGACCUGAAACCCAACAUUUUCUUGUGGGCCGGGCUUGGGCAUAGUAUUGUCCGACCCAAGCUCGGCCUAGUUCCAUCUCUAGGUUUGAUAGUUAGGUUCGGAUUCGGAUUGUUAAAAAUCCGUUUCGAAUCAGACCCGUUGGCAUCACUAGUUGCUAUCAUUUUCUUUUAUUUUUUUUAUUUUUUUAGAUACUAAUUUUAUGUAAUUUGCUAUGUUGGAGAAAAGAUUUUGUUUUUGUUAUUAUUAUUGGUUAACUUAUAAUAUAUUUGACUUAGUGCGAGAUGAUAACUUGCUUUAAAAAAUUUGAAAGCAAAAAAUAUUAUUUUAAAAUUUUUAUUUUUUUUUAUUGUCAAGUAAACACUUUGAAUGAAAUGAUUGCAAGUAAAUCACUACCCUCUCUUGUAUAUUUUGAUAUAUAAAAUUUUAUUUAAAGAUAUAAAAAAAAUAUGAUACCCAACGAGGGCCAAUUUGCAUAAAAAAUUCGCUUAUUUUGGGCUUUUACAAAACUGGGCCAUCUUUUUCGUUUUUGCAGAUUCGGUUCGUUUUUUCAGCAAACUGACCAAAAUACCCUUAUUACUUUUUCUCUUUCCUCUUUCUCUCUUCUCUUCGUUUCUCUCGUUCUUUUUUUUUUUCUAGCCGAAAAAAGUAACGAAGGCAGAGGCGGAGGCGGAAAUGGUCCGCCUCGCCUAUCACCCUCAUGCUCUCGGCCUCGCCCUUGUCCUCGCCCACGCACCCCCUACCUUCCUCGCCUCCGACCCCGCCAAGAUCGCGCCGCGACUUUUUUUUUUUUUUUUUUUUUUUUUUUUUUUUCCUNCGACUCUCCUCCACCGUCUCCGACGACGACGCCUCUCUCGCUCUUUCCCGCCCUUCUCGCCUCUCCCUUUCCCUCCUUCUCUAUCGCCUCCGACGAAGAUGCAUUUUCGCCAGCGUCGAUGCCUACACCGUGGAGGUUACUGCGGCGCUGCAGCCUUGGAGCGGGGGGUUCUUAGCGGCGUCGUCGCCGGCGCUGUGGCUGUUGGCAAAGAGGGUGACAAAAAAAAUUAUAGAAAAAAAGAAAAAAAUAAAGAUAAAAACUUAUAUAAAAAGAAGGAUGAAGAUGAAAUUGUAUCGUUAACUGCAAAAAAAAUUAUAAGAUGCACUACUUAAGAUGUAAACUGCAGCUUUAAGAUGAAAAUUACACUCUUUAAACGAAAAUUAUACUCUUUGAGAGAUAUUUAUACUAUUUCUCUUCUUAUUGCACUCUUUCAGAUGUAAACUAUAUCCAUUAAGAUGAAAGUUACACUCUUUAAACGAAAGUUGCACUGUUUUUCCUCUUGUUGCACUAUUUUUUCUCUUGUUACACUAUUUUUUAUCUUAAACUGCACCCCUUAAGAGAUAUUUAUACUAUUUUUCCUCUUAUUGCACCAUUUCUCCUCAUGUUAUAUUAUUUUUUAUCUUAAACUGCACCCCUUUAAGAAAUAUUUAUACUGUUUCUCCUCUUGUUGCACUAUUUUUUCUCUUGUUGCACUAUUUCUCCUCUUGUUCUCAGUGUAACAAGAGGAGAAAUAGUGCAACAAGAGAAAAAACAGUGCAAUAAGAGGAGAAACAGUAUAAAUAUCUCUUAAAGAGGUGCAGUUUAAGAUAAAAAAUAGUGUAACAGGCGGAGAAAUGGUGCAACAAGAGGAGAAACAGUGCAAUAAGAGGAGAAACAAUAUAAAUAUCUUUUAAAAGGAUGCAGUUUAAGAUAAAAAACAGUGUAACAAGAGGAGAAACAGUGCAACUUUCGUUUAAAAAGUGUAACUUUCAUUUUAAUGGAUACAGUUUACAUCUGAAAGAGUACAAUAAGAGAAAAAUAGUGAAAAUAUCUCCCAAAGAGUGUAAUUUUCGUUUAAAGAGUAUAAUUUUCAUCUUAAAACUGCAGUUUAUAUUUUAAGUAAUGCAACUUAUAAUUUUUUUUGCAGUUAACGAUUUAAUUUCAUCUUUAUCCUUCUUUUUCUAUAAGUUUUUAUUUUUAUUUUUUUUCUUGCUUCUUUUAUUAUUUUUUUGGUCACCCCUCUCUGCCAAUGGUCACAGCGCCGACGACGACGCCGCUAAGAACCCCCGCUCCAAGGCUGCAGCGCCGCAGUGACCUCCACGGUGUUGGCGUCGGCGCCGGCAAAGAUGCAUCGUUGUCGGAGGUGGCAGAGGAGGAGAGAGAGGGAGAGGACGAGAAGGGUGGAGAAGGGCAAAAGAGGCGUCGUCGUCAGAGACAGUGUAGAAGAGUCGGAGAGGUAAAAAAAAAAAAAAAAGAGUCGCGGCGCGGCCUCGGCGGGAUCGGAGGCGAGGAAGAUGGGGGUGUGCGGGUGAGAGUAAGGAUGCGGACAAAAUCGAAGCAAGCCACCUCCGCUCUGUCUCUGCCGCUCUCUGGGAAGAGAAAUAAAAAAAAGAACGAGAGAAAAAAGAGGAGAGAGAAAAAGUCUCCGCCGCUCUUUGGGAAGAGAAAGAAAAAAGAACGAGAGAAACGAUGAGGAGAGAGAAAGAGAAAAGAGAAAAAUAUAUAAGGAUAUUUUGGUCCUGAAAAAGCGGAUCGAAUCUGCAAAAACGAAAAAGAUGGCCCCAUUUUGUAAAAGUCCAAAAUAAGUGGAUUGUUUAUGCAAAUUGGUUUCCAACGAGAUCUAAAAUUGUUAUUAAAAAAUACGGUACAAACGAGAUCUAAAAUUUAUAUUUUUAUAGUCGUUGAUAGAAGCAUAUAAUUUAUAUUACUCUACUGCAAAAUUACGAAGUUAUUGUAAGUGAUGCUAAGAUAGUAGAAUUUUGUUAAAAGUCCUUUCUAAGUAUAAUUGAUAAUUUAAAUUUUUAUAUUUUUUUUAGAAGGGCAAUUGUUUAUAUUAUCUUGAAAAAUUUUUCACUUUCUGACUUAUCUCUCUUAUAAGGUUAAUAUUAAAAAUAUUUUUUUUAAGUUUCAAGUUAUUUCAAAUAUACAGAGUUAAAUUCUGUUAGUAAAUUAUUAGCAGUAUUAUUAUUUUGCCGUUUCAAUUGUCACCAACUUUUUUUAUUUACCCUUAAGUUAGGGCUAAAAGAAAUAUUUUAAUUUUUAUCUUUUUAAAUAUACCUUUUAUCAUCACCAACCAUUUUUUAUUUGCCUUUAAAGAGGUAUUUUGAUUUUUUUAAAAUCUCGUAGAAAUUUAACCAGAUUUAAUUCGAGAUAACUUAACGAGUACUAGCAAUGAGAUUAUUUUUGAAUAAUAAAAAAAAAAAAUAUGAAAGGUAUAUUUGAAAUGAAAAAAAUAGAGAUAUAUUAAAUAUUUCAGAAGUUUUCAAGAUAUAUUAGAUAUUAUUCAUUUUUAUUUGAAUAAUAGAAAUUAUGUGUUAAUUAAUGGGGUCCACAUGAGAGACAAGAAGAUCGCUAAAUUACACUCCCCAUCAUGUGACAAUUCCCCUAUCCUUAUCUCUUUCUUUAUAUCGUUAUUUUAUUCCAAGUUGUAUAACUUAAUUACACAAGUUUACAACUUGGGCAUGUGCCAAAAAAAUAUUGGGUAAAAAUGUAGGGAGAUAUGAGUGGUUUUUUAAGUUAAAAAAUUUGUAAAUUUGAGUAACCACAGUUAGUUAAGUUAAAAAUUUUAUAAAAUUUAUUGAUAAUUUUAUUAAGCUAUUAUUUUAUGGUAAUGCAAUUAGAAUGAUUGACAUAAUAUUUUCAACUUAAUUAACUAAAAUAAUUUAAAUAAAAAAUAAAGAGUUAAUAAUUUUCAAUCAAAAGUACAAAAUAAAGGGGCUAUUUUCAUGGCUAUCACUGAGGGUCUCACUACAUUUUUUUUCCUAAUUUUUAGCAUGACUUAUUUACAUUCUACCAUCCUAUACUGCAUGUUUUCUUUUCCUUGUUUGCUAUUAUUAAUUACUUUUUUAAUUGUUUUCUCUAUUAUAUUUUUGAUUUAUUUUUAUUUACUAUUAUGUACUAUAUUUUUUCUCAAAAGUAUUAUUAAACUAUUAUUUCUUAUAUUAAUUUAAUCACUAUACCAUUGUUAAGAAAUUUAUUAGUUUAGACUGAAAUGAAUAAUACUUCGUUUGGAAUUACGAAGAAAUUACUUUACGUGCGGUGAAAAAGUACGAUAAAAAAAUAUCCUAUUUAUUUUCGUACAUAAUAUUACUUUUAGUAUAUUGCGAUGAGUCGAUUAUGAUAUAUUUUUUUCGAUUUUAUCGGAGAAUGUAGAAGUAUGUCAUAUAUAUAUUUUUUCUAACUCUAUUUUAUCUAACAACAUCAACACCAUCAACGUCGAGUAGAUCUCUGUACCAAACUAAGCCUAACUCCUUCAAAUCUAUUAUUGUGACCGAAGAAAAUUUUAAAAAACCGUACAAAAAUCUCCAUCCUUUUCCUCCUCCUCCUAAACCCUAUAUAUAUAUCCGAGUUCACGUCGCCUUCACCCGGUAACCUUACCGCCUCGGUCUCCCGUGACCUUACCCUCUCUCUCACCAUUACCAUCGCCAUCGCCAUGAGCCUCUUCAAGCUCUUCGAUCCCUUCUUCGACCCCUUCUCCUUCUCCUUCGACCCCGACCUCGCCCUCCUCCUAAACCCUAGCCCCUCCCCCUUCGCGAUCGACGUCCUCGUCGCCUCCCUCUCCGACCGCGUCGCCGCCCUCGAGCUAGGGCUCCUGCACCGCGAUCGGAGGCGGAAGUGGACGGCGGAGAUCACGUCGCCAUGGCUGGAGGAGGAGGAGGAGGAGGAGGAGCUCGAUCGGAGGUACAGCUACAGGUGGGAGGCGGAGGCGAAGGGGGCGAAGGGGAAGGUGAAGUGGACGGAGGAGGUGGAGGCGAAGCGCGGCGGUUUCUACGCCCCUCCUCUCCCCGUGAAGCGCACGUACACGUACGAGAUCUCGACGGUGAAGGAGACUAAGGAGACUAAGGAGAAGAAGGAGACGAAGAAGAAGAAGAAGAAGGGGUGCGGCGCACGCGUCGUCGAGAUCGAGCACGAUACCAAUCCGAGGACCAUCGCCAUUAGAAAGGUUCGAGGAGCUUCGCUUUUUUUAAUUAAUUUUUAUUAUUAAAAAAAAUAUAUAUAUCAAACUUAUCUGAAUUAUGGGCCAUUUUGAGUUUGCUUUCGAAUCUUUCAAUUUGUUUGAUUUGAGAUUAACGACCCGCUGACUUCAAAAUUUUAGGGCGUGUUUGGUUCGAAGUUGGAGUCGAAAUCGGAAUCCUGGAAUUGGAAUCGGAAUUACUCAUUACCUACGUUUGUUUUGUUUAUCACCUGAAUCGGAAUCGGAAUAAAUCAUUUCCAUUAUCGGUGUUUGGUUUAGAUGGAUAUAAAAAACGUAAUCAAAUUAAUAUACUAACAUUAUCUUUAUAAUAUAUUAAUUUAAAUUUAAAUUAAAAAUUAAAUAUUAAAAAUUUACAUUAAAAUUUUGAAAUAAUGUCAAAAUUUUAAAUCUUUUUUUUUUUAAAAAAAAUUAAACUUUGAAGUUGAGUGGAUAAUUCAAAAUAUGAAACUAAAUUUUGAUUUAUUCAAAUUCAAACUUAAAAUUAUAAUUAUAAUUUUAGUUUGUAUCCAUAAAUUUAAUUUAAGUUUGAAAUAAAAUUUGAAUAAAAUUUUAUAUAAAUUAAAUUUAAUCUAAAUUCAAAUUCAUAAGUUAGAUUCGAAAUACUUAAUUAAAUUUUAAUUUUUAAUUUAAGUUCAAAUUAAAAUUUAAAAUUAUAUAUUUAAUUUUUAAAUUUUAACUCAUAUUUUAAUUAAAAAAGUUGAAAAAAUAAAUUUAAUCCGAAUAAAUAUCUAUUCCGUUCGAAUUCAACUUCCAAUUUGGCAUCUUAGGUCGGAUUGAAAAAAGAGGUGAUUGGGGGAUUUCCAUUCCACACGGGAAUUGGAAUCGGAAUGAGACUCCCGCGUACCAAACACCCACAAACGGAUUUACCAAUUUCGAUUCCGAUUCUAAGGUGAAAAAGAAGCGAACCAAACACGCCCUUAUAGGAUACCAUAAUACUAAUUUAACUCUCAAAUAUAAUUUUAUAUUAUUUAAAAUUUAUAAAAAAUAUAAUACUAUUCUCUAAUGAGUUUUCCAAAAAAAAAUAUCAAAUUUAUUUUUAAAAACUUUUAUAUAAGAAAAAAAUUAUAAAAAUCUAGGAAUAGUAAUAAUUUCCCCUUAAAGCAUAAUUUCCCCUUCAAAUUUAAUAGUUUACCCAAAAAAUAAUAAUAAUUAAAAAAACAAUGGACAUGGAAAAUUAAAUAGAAAUUACAUAACCACGCGCACUUCACAACAAGGUCACAAAAAUCUACCAACAAAAGCACGAUCUUUUCGAUUUCCAUUAACAAUUCACACUGUAAUCAAACGGAUCUACCACUUGAAACCCUCCUAGAAACCCUAAUAGCACAAAGAACUAAGUAGAUCGGAGACAAAUCUACAAGCAAUGGCGAGUAAAGAUCCAAUCAGAUCGGGCCUCACCUCGUCGCCACACCGCUGCACCAACUCGCCGUGUAGCCCCAUCUCGCUGUCGUUGCUGCCGAGUCUCGCCACCACGCUGCCCUACGCCGCCGCCGUGCCGCGUUCGCGGCGCCGCUAGGGUUAGGGAUAGAGUUUUGAGAGAGGGGUGAGAGGGGUGAGGGAUAGGGUUUUUCGUUUUUUUUUUUUUGAUGAGAGGGGUGAGAGAUCGUAUACAGAGAGAGGAGGGUGAGAUGGUCUCAUGGGCUUCGGGACUUGGUGGGCUUCGGAAAUAAAAUCUCAAUCCGGGCUUGGAGUCCGGAAUCAAGUUGAAGGCUGAUGGGCCAUUCCCAUUUCAGUCCGGAAUAGAAAUCCCAAAUCGAUUCCUGCAAACCUAACAAAAUUAAUCGGAUUUGAUCAAACCGAUUCCCAUUCCAUAUCCAAAAUGGAUAAACCAAACAAGCCCUAAUUGUAGGUCAUUUUAACAUGGCCCCCCUCAACUCAACUAUAUUUUAUUAUUAUUAUUAUUAUUAUUAUUAUUAUUAUUAUAUUUGAGAAAUGCUUGUAUAUUUAAAGUAAGUUAUAAAUCUUACACCAACCCAGUCAAGGGUGUAAGCACUUUCAUUGGGUUUUUAGGAUUAAAAAAAAAAAAGAUUGGUAAACACUAGUGUGAAAUAUUACCCUUUCGAUUGAUAGACCNUUAUUUUUAAAAACUUUUAUGCAAGAAAAAAAUUAUAAAAAUCUAGGAAUAGUAAUAAUUUCCCCUUAAAGCAUAAUUUCCCCUUCAAAUUUAGUAGUUUACCCAAAAAAUAAUAAUAAUUAAAAAAACAGUGGACAUGGAAAAUUAAAUGGAAAUUACAUAACCACGUGCACUUCACAACAAGGUCACAAAAAUCUACCAACAAAAGCACGAUCUUUUCAAUUUCCAUUAACAAUUCACACUGUAAUCAAACGGAUCCACCACUCGAAACCCUCCUAGAAACCCUAAUCGCACAAAGAACUAAGUAGAUCGGAGACAAAUCUACAAGCAAUGGCGAGUAAAGAUCCAAUCAGAUCGGGCCUCACCUCGUCGCCACACCGCUGCGCCAACUCGCUGUGCCGCCCCAUCUCGCUGUCGUGCUGCCGAGUCUCGCCACCACGCUGCCCUACGCCGCUGCCGUGCCGCGUUCGCGGCGCCGCUAGGGUUAGGGAUAGGGUUUUGAGAGAGGGGUGAGAGGGGUGAGGGAUAGGGUUUUUCUUUUUUUUUUUUUUUGAUGAGAGGGGUGAGAGAUCGAGAGAGGAGGGUGAGAUAGUCUCAUGGGCUUCGGGACUUGGUGGGCUUCGGGAAUGAAAUCUCAAUCCGGGCUUAGAGUCCGGAAUCAAGUUGAAGGCUGAUGGGCCAUUCUCAUUCCAGUCCGGAAUAGAAAUCCCAAACCGAUUCCUGCAAACCUAACAAAAUUAAUCGGAUUUGAUCAAACCGAUUCCCAUUCCAUAUCUAAAAUGGAUGAACCAAACAAACCCUAAUUGUAGGUCAUUUUAACAUGGCCCCCCUUAACUCAAUUAUAUUUUAUUAUUAUUAUUAUUAUUAUUAUUAUUAUUAUUAUAUUUGAGAAAUGCUUGUAUAUUUAAAGUAAGUUAUAAAUCUUACACGAACCCAGUCAAGGGUGUGAACACUUUCAUUGGGUUUUUAGGAUUAAAAAAAAAAAAUUGAUAAACACUAGUGUGAAAUAUUAGCCUUUCGAUGGAUAGACCAAAAAAUUUACAUCUAUCUAAAUUUUUGGGUGUAUAAGUAGUGUUGCUUUUUUUUUUUUUUUUUCUCCCUUGGGAAAAUUGUUUAGAAAAUAGAGAUCCUCUAAACUUUAGGUUCCUUUGCAACGGUGUCUGAAUUUUUAAUUUUGGCAAUUAGACCUCUUAAAGUUUGUCAAAUAACUCAAUGGAUCUCUCUCUUCAGUUGAAAUUACUAAUCACAUAGUCUCUUUGAUUGUGUCUUCAAUAUAAUUUUAUAAAGCUUUAAAAUGUAAAAAAGAAUUAUUUUUCUAUUCUAAUAUAUAAAUAAAAAUAAUAAAUAAACUAAUUGUCAAAAUUGAAAGUUCAUUUUCCUGUUUAGAAAAGAGCUAAAGAUCCUGGGUCUUUCUAUAUUAUUUCCUUUUUUGGGUGAACUUCAUUAUUCUUACUGUAGUUUAGCAUAUUUUUAUUUUACUACCCUAUGAUUUAAAAAGUAAUUUUGGUUAAUCUUAACGACCUACCCUUAGGGCGUGUUUGGUUCGAAGUCGGAGUCGAAAUCGGAAUCGGAAUCAAAAUAAGCUGGAAUCGGAAUCGGAAUUACUCAUUACCUAAUUUUGUUUGGUUUAUCACCUGAAUCGGAAUCGGAAUAAAUCAUUUUCAUUAUCGGUGUUUGGUUUAGGUGGAUAUAAAAAACGUAAUCAAAUUAAUAUACUAACAUUAUCUUUAUAAUAUAUUAAUUUAUAUUUAAAUUAAAAAUUAAAUAUUAAAAAUUUACAUUAAAAUUUUGAAAUAAUGUCAAAAUUUUAAAUCUAUUUUUUUAAAAAAAAAUUAAACUUUGAAGUUGAGUGGAUAAUUCAAAAUAUGAAACUAAAUUUUGAUUUAUUCAAAUUCAAACUUAAAAUUAUAAUUAUAAUUUUAAUUUGUAUCCAUAAAUUUAAUUUAAGUUUGAAAUAAAAUUUGAAUAAAAUUUUAUAUAAAUUAAAUUUAAUUUAAAUUCAAAUUCAUAAGUUAGAUUCGAAAUACUUAAUUAAAUUUUAAUUUUUAAUUUAAGUUCAAAUUAAAAUUUAAAAUUAUAUAUUUAAUUUUUAAAUUUUAACUCAUAUUUUAAUUAAAAAAGUUGAAAAAAUAAAUUUAAUCCGAAUAAAUAUCCAUUCGUGGGUUUCGGAUUCAACUUCCAAUCCGGCCUCUUAGUCGGAUUGAAAAAAGAGGGGGUUGGGGGAUUCCUAUUCCACUCGAGAAUUGGAAUCGGAAUGGGACUCCGCGUACCAAACACCCACAAACGGAUUUAUAUUCCGAUUCCGCAUUCCAAGGUGAAAAAGAAAGCGAACAAACACGCCUUAAUAUACUUUUUGUAACACAUGAUAGUAAAGUGCAAAUUAUAGAACAGUAAAAACUGUAUUGUUUCGCUCUGGUUUGAAAAACUAUCACGGUAGUAUUUAGUUUAGCAGCAGCUACUUACAGUGAAAUGGAAAUAAUGAACCGUAUGAUAGAUAAGCAUACUCUUUUGAAUCACAAUGCGGCGAAGAAAUGAAAAAGUGUUAGACCACAAUGAGGUAAAUUGAAGUUUACCUUUUUUUUUUUUUUGUGAUAUUGACGCCUCUUUGAACUUUUAAUUCUGCUCUCUUUUUUUUUCUUUUUUUUUCUUUUUUUUUUUUUCUAUUUGGGUUACUCUAGUUAAUUAAGCUGAAAUGUUGUUAAGUUUGAAUAGUAGCUAUGUUAGUUGUUAGCUUGUUUUUUAAUUGGGUAAAAAGUGAUUAAAGUUAUUAAUUUUGAAAAUGAAUAAAAUGGCUACUAUAGUUGACUAAAAUCGCUUAUUACACCAAAAAAAGUUACGAAAAGCCAACAAAAAAUAAAAUUAAAUGUUGUUUUAAAAUGGACUAUAGAUUGUGGAGUAUCCACACUUUUUUCCCUUUUUUUUGUUUUAUAGGAAAGGACUGUCUUCUUGUGGUAUUGUUAGAACUAAAACCGAGAAGAUCUAGUUCGUCGGAUACGAAAAUACCAAAAGAGAUCUGAGAAAGAGAGAAGAAAAAUAAAGCACACAAUAUUUACGUGGUUCGGCCAACGGCCUACGUCCACGGGCGAAGACGGAGCGGAGAUCUUCAUUAUAAUCAAAGCCGUACAAAAUAUGCCUCUCUCACAAAACCCUAAUCCCAAAAAAUACACCCAUAUUCUCUCUCUCAUCUUCCGCACUAAAUCAAUAGCAGAAAGGGUAUAUUUAUAAUAGUGGCUAAAUCUUAAUACGAUUAGGAAUACAAACCCACUAAGAUUAGGAAUAUCUCGAUAAAUUAGGCAUAAUCUAAAGUUAACUUAAUGGGAUAAUUAAAACAGAAUAGGGUUAGAAAACCUUGCGGUACUAAAAUUCGAGACAUAUUUAACAAGUAUUAAUUGUUAAAACUAUGUAUGAUUAUUAAGUUUUCUUACAUUAGGAAUUUGGAAAAACCUGGGGUUUUGGAAUGAAACUUUGAAGGGUUUAAACUUGGUUGAUACUUGGUAUUGUAUUUAUAUAAUUCAGAAACUCAAAACAAAGACCAGUGUUGUUCAUUGAACUUUGUUUAAGUUGAUGAGUUAAGAACUAGGAUUUUUAGGAAAAGUAUAUUCCAAGGGCUUCCACACAUCAAUGUGGUCACAUUUUUUUCAGAUGUAACUUCCGAUACGCCUUGAAAGUGUCCGUCUAUUUGUAGUGGUUAAGUGCUUGCCUAUAGUUCAUUCUUUUCUUUCUUUCUUUUUUUUUUUUGGUUAAACUGUAAUCAUUUAGCCAAACGCCAUAAUCCAUUGACAGAGUUAGAUUCCUACUGUGGCAUGUUGUGCGCAUUUAAUAGAGAUAUGCUAUACCUAUGAAAAACCUACGAACAUUUCUUACGAUAUAUGGUACAUGUUUGUUAUACGAUUCAUCUUAUCUUAUCUAUUUGAGUACACUAUAAAGAAAUGGAAGAUAUUCACCAGAUAAUUCCUUAGUCUUGCAGAGUAGUAUUUAGAUAGAAAUGUAUAAAACUUACUUGAAAUAUAGACCAUUUAAAUCCGACUAUCCAACCUUUCAAAAAUUUGAUUUUACUACCCAAUCUUUUGAUUUGUUUGAUUUAAAUGAUUUGAUGAUUCUUCCGAUAUAAAAUUUAAGCUAAUUGCUUGCUUAAAUAAAUUAAUAGUUACGUAAAUUGCAUAAAAUAUAUUAACUAAACCUGUAAUAUACACGACGAUUCAAAAUUUGAAGUUAAAGAGUCACUAAUUGGAUUAAAUCAAGUAAUUUAAAAGAUCAGGCAGUAAAAUCAAAAUUUUUUAAGGUUAGGUAGUCAUAUUCAAAUGGGUGAUAGUUGAGCUAAGUUUUAUCCAUGUUUCCCUAAUUUUUAUGCAGCAUUUAGUAGCAUGGGGUUGCAUAAUAAAUGCUCUUCUUCUUUUUUUUUUUUUUCCUUUUCCUUCUCUCUUUUUUCCUCCUUUUAGGCAUAUUCAUUCAUCUUUCGAUCAAUCAUACAACCACCCUCAUCUUCUAAUCUAAUUGGUAAAAAGAUGAAAAAGUGAUUAUGGAUGUUACUUCUUAAGUUUCAUGGUAUCAUUAAUUUUAAAGCUCCAUUUAGAUAAAAAUGCUGCUCCUUUGGGAGUUCAAUAGGUAUAUCUCCCACAAAUUUUCCUCAUAUAUUCCGUGUUAUUUGUUACUAUUGAGAAAUCAACGACGGAUUCAAACUGAUUUGUAGAAAUAGACUGAUCCCUAGUUCGAUUACAUCUGCAGUGUUUUAAUUUUAACAGACCGGUUCUAAAUACCAAAUAGUCGAAAUAGAUACUCUGAAAGGCUCCAAGUUCUAAUCUUGUGAUCAACCUUUGUUCUUGUUAGUUCGAAGUGGUUGUUGUUGGCAACUCUCAUCUGAUGCUCUACAUUCCAUUUCCAUCUCGCAAAGGCUUUCGCGAAGAGCUACAUCAAGGGCAAGAGAAAGGAGCUCUCCCCACAAGAUGCUGCUGUACUGAUCCAGCGGAACUUCAGGGCGCAUCUCGCGCGGCGCUCGCAGGUGCUUUGCUGCCUUCGUGAUCUGGCGAUAGCCAAAGCUAAGCUGAAGGAGAUCAGAGCCUUGUUCUGUAACUUCUCCUAUCGCCGCCGGAUCGCACAUGAUGCGGAGGAGCGCCAGAGGUUCUCGGAGAAAAUUAUCGUCCUCCUCCUUACUGUUGAUGCCCUCGAGGUAGUUCAACUAAAAUGGUCUCAUAAUUGCUUAUUUGUUUGUUAUUCUAACAUUCGAAAUCCUUAUUUUGGUGGCCAUUAAAGGGACCCGACUACAUGAUUCGAGCCGCGAAGAAGUCCAUGAUCGACGAACUCGAGGAGAUGCUUGAGGUGGUGGAUCCGCAGCCCGGGAAGCUAAAUUCCCUCGGGCGUCGAAAGUUCGAUCUCCCCAACGGACAAAUCACCGAUGAGAUGAUUUCGAGCAUCGAGGAGGUGGUGAGAGUCGCCCAAAACGGUGCCUAGCGCUCCCUAUCGGAAUCGGAGCGGCUUUCUUGUUAAGGUAUGCAUAGUUUCGUGUUGUUGUAUUUCACUUCUUUGAAUGUUUGUGUGUCUUACCUUGUUUACUGUUCAAGACUUUUCCGAAAAGCUUUGCUGAAACUGUUGCGUUUUCUUCGAGUUUGAAUCUAUCAGUGUGGUUUUGCGCUGUGUAUGUGUGUGUUAUUAUGUCAUGCAAAUUUGGUUUCAUUUUCGAGUUUCGAAUCGAUUUGCUUUGCUCUAUAUUGUGGAGUGUGAUAAAUUUGUGAAGGCGGUUUCAUUGCGGCAGUUUAUAGCUGGAUAUAAGGCCUGUUUGAUGGAUAAGUGAUGUGAUAUUUUAAUUAUUAUUGUGUAUCAAUCACAAUAUUGUUAUAUCACUUUCACAUUAGUGAUAAAUCAACAUUUAGUGACUCAACUAGGUUGUGGGACUUUGAUUACAAGAAUUCAAAAAAUUUGAGUCAGAAAUUACCAAAAAAAUUAAGGUUUAAGGAUCAAACAUGAUUGAGGUUAUACUAGUUCAGAUAAAAUAUUACAGUUUCCAUCAAAAUAGGAAAAAAAAAUUAUAUUUUUACAUGUUAACUCUUUUUAGGCUCAAAAACCAAUGGGCCCAAUAAAGCUCUAGUAUGUAGAGUAUUAUUUAUUAUGAAGUACAAUUUUCUCGUAUGUAUUUCUUUUGGACCCAUUUAGGGCCCACUAGUAUCUGAAUUAUCAUCUACAUUUUAUUUUGGUCUUCGAACUUUUAAUUUCUCUAUAAUCUUAAAAGAGUUUGUUUUUAGUCCUUACACAUCUUUACUAUUAGGAUGCGUUUGGUUCGAGUUAUCCUGGCAAGAUUAUAGGCAAUCCUAUAAUGAUUACUGUGUUUGGUUCAUCCGCUAUGUAAUCUAGUCAUUAAUGUAGCAUUACAAAUCGAGCAGCAUUACACCAAAAAUAUUAACGAAUAUUAACGAGAGGGGGUCGUGUAUCUUGCAUUACUAAAAACCGGUAAUACUAUAUAUUAUAUAAAAUGACAAUUUUACUCUCGAAACCCUUUCAAUACGUUAUUUUAAAAAAUUUAAUUAAUAAUUUUGAAUAGUCAACUUUUAAAUUUUAAAUUUUGAAAUUAAAUUUUUAUAUUUUAAAUUAAAAUAUUAAAUUUAUAUCCUAAGUGCUCCCAUUUGCUUUUCGGCCUUUAAUUUAAAAAAUUAAAUUAUUUAAAAUAAAAUUUGGUAAAAAAAUUAUUGUUGGUAAACAGUAAAAAAAAAUUUACGAAAUAUGACUAAGGGUAAUUUUGGAAUAGACUAUACUUUAUUGUCUAGAUUACUAAAUUUUAUAGACAGAAUCAAACAUAAUAACACUAUAAACACUGCAAUCCAGCAUUACAUUAUUGUAUUAAACUAAACGCACUAAUACAGCAUCAGUAGUAAUCUCAUUUAGAAAUUCAAGAUACCUGAAUAUAUCGAAUACUCUGUAAUAUUAUAUAACUCGAACCAAACGCUCCCUUAAAGAGAAAUUAUUAUCUACAUUCCAUGCAUUUGUAUAUUUAUAUGCUACGCAUUUAUCGGUUCUUUAUUUUAUCUCACAUUUCAACUGUUCCAUCCAUUGAACAAUAAUUGUAUAGCUGUUUAGAAUAUAAGAUAACCUAGGGGCGAGCAAUAAUGCUUAUUCAAAGAUGAGGACUACACUGAAAUGUUAUUGAAAGUAGGGCUGGCGAUCUAGCCCACUGUUUGCGAGACAGUUCGUGUUCGGUUCAAAAUGGGUUUAAGAUCGAUCGCUUGUUUAAUAAAUGAGCCGAACACGACUGAAAUUUUUCAGCUUGCUCAUGUUCCGUAUACCUCGAAUUAAAGAAAUCUAUAUUUUUUGAAUUUUAGUUAUUAGAUUAAGAUUCUAAUUUUCUAUUUUUCUUUCAAAUUUUCACUCAAGAGUAGAGCUGAUAAUCUAAUCUAUUGUUCACGAGCUAGCUCGUGUUCGACAUGUUUAAUAAACCAGUGAGUACGAGUCAACCCAGCCUGCUUAUGUUCGGCCGUUGAACAGUCCUAAUACAAUAUUUUCGUUAGUAAUGCUGACCCUCGAUAAGAGCUUAUUUGGUUCACAGAAUUUAAAAUUUUCUUAAAUAGUUAGCCUCUUAGAUAUUAUUAUUUUAGAAUAUAUUUAUUUAGAUCAUAUAUUAGAAUAUCUAGAAUUUUAACAUGAAAUAAAAACAUCUUAGAUUACCACAAUAUCCUUAUUCCUAGAUAUCGACAUUGAUUGAUAUCUAUACUAUAUAUUAAUUGGCACUUUCAUCACAUCAAAAGAAGGCGCUUUAGGAGAGCCACAAAUUAUCAUAUAAGCCAAUAAAAGAUGGUCACAUGUCCAGUAAAUAUUAAUGGGCACUUCUAUCACACUAAAAGAAGGCUCUCUAAGAGAGCCACAUAUUAGCAUAUAAGCAAAUAAAACAUAGCCACAUAUGCGGUAAAUAUUUUGGAUGCAUCUAAUGCCCCGUAAAUUAAUUCUAAAAUAUGCAUUAAAAAUAAAUAUCUGUAAUACAAUCAAAUAUUUAAAUAUUUUAUAUUACAUAUAUCUAUACUAUAUAUUAAUUGGCACUUCUAACCCAUCAAAAGAAAGCUCUCCAAGAGAGCCACAUAUUCCAUUAGCAUAUAAGCCAAUUAAUAAAAGAUCGCCACAUGUCCGGUAAAAUAUUUUGGACGCAUCUAAUGCACCGUAAACUAAUUCUAAAAUAUACAUCAAAAAUAAAUAUCUGUAAUACAAUAAAUUAUUUAAAUAUUUUAUAUUAUAUAGUUUAUAUUAUAUUUUAUUUUAUAGUAUUAAUUAUCAAAUAUUCUAUCAAUAAUUUUAUAUUCUAUGCGCUAUAUGGAGGAUUAGUAUGCGCCAGAUAUAAAAAAGAUUUCUUCUCUUUCUCGAAAUUAUAAGUGCACCGUAUAAAAUAUUCUCUGCAUCAUGUGUAUAUGUAUAUGGACAUCGCAUACUUAAAAUCCUUUAAUAAAAAUUUUAAAAUUAAUUUAUUAAACUUUGGAUAUUAGAAUAUUAGUCAUCUAACAUAAAUUGCGAUGUAUAAAGUAUUAGUAUAAACCAGGUGCAUAUAAUAGUCUCUUUUUUCUCCAAUCAAGUUUAACAAAGUAAAAACACCUCUAUCUAUUCUUCAAUUUGAAAUAAAUCCUCUAACUUUAACUUUUUAGUUAAAAAUAGCAUUAAAUACUAUAAAGUUUAUUUAAAUUUUCAAAUAACAAUAUUAGAAUAAUUUAACUUUACAAUAUUGAAAGUUAAGAAAAUAUUAAUUAAAUAAAGUUAUUUUUUAUAGUAUACAGAAGAAUACUGUAUAGAUUUUUUUAAUCUUUUUUUGUUAUAAUUUUUAUAAUUUUAAAAUUUUAAUAAUAUUGUAUAUCUUAAUUGAUUGAAAUAUCACUUACCUGCCGUGAAGCGCAGGCCCUGUACUAAUGUCUAGUAAUACAUUAUUUCAUACUACAAAGAAUAAUAUAUAUUGUAAGUUUAAAAAGGUAUUUUAGUCCAUUUCAAAAUCUUAUGCGAUAAAAAUUCCCACAUUUUAUGCGGAUAAAAAACAUCAUGAGAAUUAUAAAUCUAUGUCAAAGAACCAAACACAGGAGUUCUCAAUUCCUAACCCAUAUAUAUUCAUGAAAAUUUUAAGAAAAUACUUUAAACCAAACAUGCUCUACCAAUUAGUAAUUUAAUGCCUCUCGAAAGUAAAAAUAACUCUCCUUGUUUUGUUUCUUGUAGCUAUUUUGUUGAUGGGUGCAGAUAUUCGAAAUUUUAUCUAAACCCGAAUUCCAAAUGAGUGGACAUAUCCGAUGCUAAAUAGAUAUAGUUUCGGAUAUGAAUAUCAAAAACGAAAAUAUAAUAGAUUUGGAUUUGAAUAUGAAUUUUGAUUGUUCCUGAUCGGAAUUCGAACCCAAUCCGAACCCGAACUGAUUUUACAUUAUAUAAUUUAUACAUAAAUGUUUGAUGUUAUAUUUGAAUUUAUAUUUUAAAAAAUAUAAAUUUAAUCUAAUAUAUUUUUAAAUAUUGUAAAGAGAAAAAUUGUUUAAGUUCGGAUUUCAAAAUUAAUAGUCAAAUUCGAAUUCAAAUUUUUAAAGAUCUGCUCUCAAUCUGACCCGUUAACAUCCUACCAAACAAACAUCUUCACCACAAUUUGCUCGCUGUCACACCCCGCAUUAUACGUUCCCCGGGCACGCCGACAAAUCCACUGUAUACAAAAGAAUUUUCUCUGUAUACGAAGCGAUAGCUGUACCUAUAAAACAUACAAUACUACAAACAGUAGUAUAGAUACUACAAACAGUAGUAUAGAGCUGCCAGAAGAACCAGUAACUAAAAACAAACUGAGUUUCAUAUACAUACGUCAAAACCAAGAUACAAAACUACUCGCACUGGCGAAUUAAACAUCUGUAUGUACAUGAACUCCAGCCAAAAACAACUACCUGCUGUAGGGGCACCUCUAGCUCGGCUCGUCUGGUAGGGCUCUAACUCACGACGCCCUUGCCUCGAUCCUGAUCAGCAACAGCAGCAGCCGAAGACGAUGGCUCUGCAAAAACAAGGUAACAACAGGGCGUGAGAACUACUGUAAAAAUAAGUAGUUCUCAGUGGGUGCCGCACUCAACAUCAUCGGUCCACCCAUUAAGUCUACAGAAGGGAGCAAAAAUAGUAAUAAAUGCCGGAAUAAAAUCUACAGCUAUAAGUUAUUACACUAUCAUGCUCUAAACUAACCUACUGUAAUGAUGUCAAUCCCGACUGAAUCUCUUUAAGGACUGUAAACAUACCUGUCCCAGAGACUGUCAAUACACCCGUCCCGCCCAGUUGGGACUAUCCAGCUACCUCCACACUAACCAGUCCAUGGGGAGCAAGUCUAAUCGGCAUGACCGACACCAACGCGAAAGCACAGCUCCCGUCUCUGGAGUGGCACUCGUGGGAGGUACCCAACCGAGUAUGCAGUGUAUCUCUGUCGAGCUAAAUCGGGCUCUCACAAGCCUAAGUCAAGUAACCGACUCUAACUGGUCUAACAACCAAUAGGUCACGUACCCUCGGCACAAUCUGACGUCAAAACGGCGAUAUGGGUCCACCGUCAACCCCGACGAUACCCAACAGUCCGGAACAGUCUGAACGCUACUGUAAAAAUACGCUAGGCAUCACAACACGAGCGUAACUGAACUCUAAACUAUCAGGGGUAUCCAUCACACCCAUACUGCGAUGAUACAAAUUUACAACGGCUCCUAGAGCUAAAUCAGGUAGUGUAAACAGGUGAUAGGUCCAAAUCGCCGAUUUUCUCCUUAUUCAAUUUUCAAGUCCAACAUGUAUAGUUUAACUAGAUUCAGAAACAUGCUUCAAAUUCAGAUUUCAGCUAAUAUGCUACUCAAUGAAUUUAAGCUAGUAUAAAGUAUAAACAAUCGAAAACUAUACAUGUUUACUAAUCUCUACUUAGAAGUAAACCCGAUGAAAACACACCUCAAAUGCUAACUCCUAGCAGCGAAGGGAGUCUCGAACCAAUAAUAAUCCCUGCUGGAUCAACUGAAAUCCUCAAAGUCCAGAAAUCGAGCUAUCUCCAAGCUCUACAUAUCGAAAUCCGUCAAUUCUGUCCAAAUACAACAGCAGCAGAGUAAAAUAGAAGUUCGAUCAAGCUAACCUUCACCAAAUUCAGUAAUCUUGGACUUCGUGGAUUCCUCUCGAAGUCUUGAAUCCAUCAAACCAAGUUUCGUCACAAUCCGACACUUCUACGUUGCGUACGAGCCAAAACGCCGACGGUCGACGCUGGUAUUCUGCAAGAACAGCAUCCUUGAGCUUGAAGUAGUAAGCACUUGCAAUGGUUGGAGGAAUUUGAUGAACAUCUCACCUCAAAAGCUAUUCGAACUCCGGCGCGACGUCGAGAACAGCGAAAAUGCACCCUCGCGCGGCUUCCCCGUAGCGCUACGACGAUGAAGACACGCUCGAAAGGCACCGCGGCGCGACGUCGACAACAAAUCAAAUCCACCCAAGCUCCUCCUUGCUCACGAUCGGGUCUAGAGAGAGAGAGGAGAACAAUAAAAUCCUCUCUCUCUAACCCUCUACGGACAUAUAAGCGGUGGAGAGGUGUGGGUGACACGAACGAGGUAGAAAAUUACCAAAAUGCCAUCUCACCUACCCUGGUGUACUGGAACACAAGCCCGUGUACCGGUAUCAGAGGCCAACCCGAGAGCAGUCUGCGCGCAACCCUGUGCAGUGUACCGGUACACCAUGCUGGCUGUACCGGUACAGCAAGCAGAGAAACCUGCUAUUUGCAGAUUCCCUUGCCAAAAGCUGCUCUCGCGUCGCAUAGAGUUCGUUUUGCGUCUAUUUCGCGCUAACGCGACUCAGACUUGUCCCGACACUCUCCAGAGCUAUCGACAAGCCUUUACUGUUGUACACCAGGGAUCUCACAUCCUUCUCCACUACAAAAAGUUUCGUCCGCGAAACUUAAGCAUACCUCAGCUCAAGUAUCAAACAAAUAGGGAUAGGAUGUAAGGACUGAGAUUUUGACAGUGCAACUAAACUCUCUGUUGACGAUGUUUAUGUGUGUAAUUUAAUUACAUAAGCACUCGUCAAGUUUCAGGAGAAAAUGAGCUAAAAUGGAGAAGUUACGCGAUUAUUAGUUUUCACUUAAGUGAAUAGUAACUCCGGUUUUCCGGAGAAGCCACGGAGUAGAGAUGGCUUUCGGCGCGUAUCGGACUCCGUUCAUAGCGAUCCAAUAGCUCGUUUUGAACGGUUCAGCUAUUCUGGAACCAAUGGCACUGACGGAUUUCAGAUACGAUGCACAGUUUUCGAGAAAAAGGAGUUUUAAGAAAAGAGGGUUUCCGCUCCUUGCUAUUCGUGCAUUUUAAAACUCCUCGUGCUCUGUGCUUGUGACCUGGGGUUAGGUGAGAGUUGUUUCUGGUACCUACUNNNNNNNNNNNNNNNNNNNNNNNNNACCCCGGCCACUUCUCCAUCUUUCUCUUUUAAUCGAUCCACCACCCUCUCGGCCUGAGUACGCAAGGAAGUGCGCGAAGCCCGAGGAUCCUUCACCUGUGGCUGAGGGCUACCUCCGGCGCCGAUUUCCGCCGGCCUCGGUCGUACACCGCGCCGCCCGCACCCUCCUCGCUCUACGCGGCCAGCCAGACCCGACCGAGACCGAGCGCAGCCUGGUUGUGGCGCACGCCGCCUCCCACCCUCGGUCCCGCCGCCCUCGUAUGGCCUCCGGCGUGCCCCCGCGCGCCAUCGCCGCCGCUCCCGUUGCCGCCGGCCGCCGCUCUCCCUCUCUGCGGCCGCCCAGAUCAAGUGCGGGCCGAGCCGGGGCUAGCUCUGCCUCCGCGCGCCGCCGCCGUUCCCCGCCGGUCAAUUUGCCCUUCCUCCACCUCCGGCGAGGUGCCGCCGACGCCCCGACCUUGCUCCGGCCGCCGCCAUGGCCACCGCCACCUCUGGAGCCGCAUUGAACCCGCGCGGGCUCAGUUUGGUCCAGCACCGCCGCCGCCGUCUUCCGCCGCCGUCCAGCGUGAGCACCGGCUCCACCUCGCCGGCCGCACUCGUCCGCCGCCGGCGCCCCCACCGCCGGAGCUCCCUGUCAACCGUGGUGAGCCUAUGCUCUCCUCGGGUUGUACAUCUAGGGCAUCAAUGCCCGCCGUCGUCGCCGCCUCCCGUCGCCUGUUAACGUGAGCCUCGGCCUUCUCUGACCUGGAGCACUUUCCCCUGGCAGGCUUGCCCGCUGUCCGGCCGCCGCCGGCCACCCCGAGCCCUGCCUAGCUCCGGUAUGCUACUGUUUUAAGUUCCAGCACUGUAGUUUAGGGUUCCGGUCACCUUUCGGGCGAUCCGAAGGUACCCCGAUGACAGUGGAAGUGAGCACGAUCAUCGUUACUCCGUGCUGAGCAUCGUUCUCACCUCCAUCGGGGUCAACGGUUCCCCGGUUUGCGUGUUAGACGCGAUUUAGAUACCAUGCGCGCUGUUUCGCUGAAGUUCGCUUCAUGCGCGCGCCCUCCACAGUGGCCGGAAUUGCUCCGAAAGGUGAGCACGGCCUCCGGCACGUCGAGACCUGUCAGUAGGUGUCUCGGUUUGGCUGCAUGACUCCUGGUUUGUGUAGACGGACCAUAAAAGCGCCGAAAUCGCAUGAAAUAAUGCGAUUUCGGGUAUUCGGACGGGCUUUUAUGCAACUUUGUUCGUCGUGGUUGCUGUUGGCAGCAAGUAUGGGCUAAGGAUAACCUCUGGACUGAUCGUCCAAGGCCCCAAGCCUUUGCGGGAAUCAAAAAGUGAUUUCCGGUGCGUUUCUCGGCGAAAUCCGCCGACGGAAUGCGGGUUCGGUUCGGAAUUAUUCCGACGGUGCUUCGUGAGCUGAUGUGUAGUCGUCGAGCCUUAUUGGCUGGUCACCCGUGUCAUUUCGAAGGUUCAGAAAUGACGGGUGAGCGAUGGUGGGUUCCGGUGUCGAAAUAGACACUUCCGGGAACCCGGAUCGGAAUAAUUAUCAGACGAUAAUCGUUUCGAUGUGAGGCUAGGUGUUUGCUGCCAAGAACCAUGAAUAAUGGCGUUUAAUGGCAGCGUGUGACUCGUAGUGCGAGUCGGUGAGUUCCGGGACAGUCCGUGGGUCCCGGCAGAGUCUCGGUGCAGUUUUCGGGAUUUCCGGUUUGUUCGGUAAUCGGUUUUGGGAAACCGAUCUCCGUGGGAUUGUUGUGGGUUGUGUAUUCAGUGGUUUAUUUGUGGGAUUAUGCUUUUAAGGGUUUCUUAGUCGUGGGUUAGACACUAACCCAGUGGACCCUCCUUAGGUCCUGUUGACGUUCUUUUGCAGUCAGGUGACAGGCGCGACAGUUGUACAGGUGGGUACUUCGAUCCGACGUCGGUACAGUGGUGCACGUUCGGUGAUGGUUUCUUACCCUCGCUCCUUUGUUAUUAUCCAUGCAUACGUUAUAUAUUGAGCUUUGCACCUCUGUUGUUUACAUUACACCCACGUUGUUUGAUUAUACUCUACUCGUUGUCUGCAUGCUUAGUAUCCUGAGUAGGAGUAGAGUAGUUCUAUCCGCAUCCGUAUCGGUUGACCUAGUUGGUCUCUUGAGCAUCCGUAUCUGUUGACCUAGUUGGUCUGUUCUGCAUUCCUCUACUCAGUUAGUUCCAUAUUGAUAUCAUGCUUAGGAGUAGAGUUGACUUAUCGGUUCACUAUAUCUGUGAUUUGGUUGGGCGGUUUUCCUAUUUUGAUAUCUAUGACCUAUUCGGUCGAGUUGCUACAGUUCUAUCUUGACAUACGUAGCCGAUUAGUUGCUGAUGGCCAUUACGGUCGGUGUGCCCUGAGGGGCUGGAUUGUCGGCUAGUUGCCGAUGGAUGAUCUUUGAGCAUACUACAUUGAUCGCCACUGCAGGCUACGCAUUUCACGAACACAGCGGUCUGAUCCACCGCAAAGAGGGUGUUUUUUCCGGAAAGUGGUUGGAUUGCAACCCGUGAGCCCAUGGGCUUUUAUUGCGAGGUAUAUGCUUGACCAGGGUCAUUGCGAGGGUCAGUUACACGUUGAGCAGUGUGGCAUGGGCUGAGGUCUUCGGACCAAUAGGGCAGCGAGAUUUGGUACUUUUGAGCUUAUCGUCAGUUGACGCAUGCAUCAAGUAGCUGUAGUGUUUAUUUUCAAUACAUCCUUAUCUGUUUAUUGUAGCUACUUUUUAUUUACCUGCAUCUAUACUUGACAGCUCGCUUACUUAUCAGCAUCUUUACUUACCAGACUUAUGUCUAUCUAGUUCUCCGUGUUGUUGUAUAGCUUUCUUCCUUGAUCCGGGAGUCUCCUCGCCUUUGGGCUUGCGUACCACUGGGAGGGGAGACAUGUUUACAUGUUCUCACUCCCCCAUCAAUUUUUCAGGUAUGCGCGGGCGAUGAGUAGUGGGACGAGACGUGAGGUACGUGUGUAGCGGUCGAUAGAGCUUCCGACCCAGGUUAUUCGAUUUGUUAUUAUCUCUUGGAAUUUCUGUUGAUAUAUAGUUAGUUAUUUUAGUGUUCAGUAUUUACAUUUGGAAAAUGUGAAUUUCUGUAUUUUGUAAAUAAAAGGUUUUCUACCCCUCGUGGUAGCGCUUUAAAAGAAUAAAGGUUUCUGUGUAGGAAACAGUUUUCAAAAGAUUUUUGUGGAUUUCUGUUUAAACCUUGAAUGUAAAACUGUGAUGUAAUGGUGAAUUAUGAAUGUAUAGUUAUCUUUAUAUUCUCUGGUGUGUUUGUAUCGUAUUGUAUCUGUGUAUUGAUCGACGCCGUACAAAUACAGGGAGACUUUGUCGCGUGUGAACAGUGAUUCCCUGUAUUUGUGGCGGAAUUGGCAUACUCUGGGUCAGGUUUAAAAAAAAAAAAAAAAAAAUUCAUACGCUUUCCGCUUUGUUUUAACCAGAAAAAGGGCACCGGGGCGUGACAUAGGACUCCCUCAUCACCAUCUCUGGCUCCCAAGUCGCUCCGCUCCUCAUGAUUACUCUACUGCACCUUUUACAUACGGAUGACCCGAUUACGCAAUUCUUUGGUCUCCCGAGCGAGAAUCCGCACAAUCAUCCCUCGUAUCUCAGAUCCUCGCUAAUCUCUAGCGGAGUGAAGUCGAUCACGUGAGAAGGAUCGAACACGGUAUCUCCUCAAUGCCGAGACGUGGAAGGCAUCGUGGAUACCGGUCAGUCGGGGAGGUAGAGCAAUCCUAUAUAGCAACUGGUCCAACUCACUCCAAUACCUCAAAAGGGCCAACGAAACGUGGACUGAGCUUUCUAACGUACUCCGAAUUUGCGAAUCCCUCUGGAACGACGAGAACUUUAAGAAAAACAUGAUUUCCAACCUAGAACUCUAAGUCUUGUCUCUUGGUAUCGCAUAGCUUCUUUGGCGGCUCUGGCGCUGUCAAAAGGUGUCGUCGAACAACUCUCACCUUUUCCUCCGCCUCUAGUAAAAACUCAGGCCCAUGCGUCUUCCUUUCACGCCACAUCUCCAACACAAAGGGGAUCGACAUAAUGCGUCCAUACAACGCAUCAAACGGAGCCAUAUGAUGCUCGCUUGAUAGCUUGUUAUUGUACGCAAACUUAGCCAGUCUCAAACGUCGAUAUCACCCCCUCCCAAAGUCCAAGACGUAUGCUCUCAGCAUGUCUCAGAGUCUGAAUGGUCGCUCUGACUGACCAUCUGUCUGUGGGUGAAACGCUGUGCUGAACUGGCAACUGUGUACCAAGACUGUCUGCAAACUCCUCCAGAAGUGUGAUAAAAUCUCAGAUCCCUAUCAGAUACGACUGAAAUCGGCAUGCCAUGCAGCUAACAAUCUCAUCCAGAUAUAAGCUGCGCGAGUCUCUCUCUGGACCAGGUGGUCUGAACCGGUAGGAAGUGAGCAGACUUAGUCGUCUGUCCACUAUCACGCCCAAAUCGCAUCAUAGCCACCCUGUGCUCUAGGCAAUCCCACGAUAAAUCCAUCGUGAUCUGCUCCCAUUUUCACUCGGCACUGGCAAUUCUGAAGCUUGCCAGCAGGUACCUGAUGCUCGCCUUCACUCUGUUGAUAAGUCAACACACUGAGCCGCACAAAUCUACCAAUGUCUCUCUUCAUCCAUCCACCAAAACUGUGCCUUCAGAUCCUUAUACAUCUUGUUCCACUAGGGUGAACGUAUAAGGUAAAACAAUGAGCCUCUCUCAAAAUAUUCUCUUGGAUCUCCGCAUCCCAGGCAACACACAGUCGAUCAUCUGUACCGCAGUACUCCCGAACUGUCCACAACAUGGCUGGCUAUACCGUACAGAGGCCACCGAGCAGUCUCGCGCAACCCUGUGAAGUGUACCGGUACCCAUGCUGGCUGUACGCGUACAGCAAGCAGAAAACCUGCUAUUUGCAGAUUCCCUUGCCAAAAGCUGCUCUCACGUCGCACCAGAGUUCGUUUUGCCUCUAUUUCGGUCAACGCGACUCAGACUUGUCCCGCACCUCCAGAGCUGUCGACAAGCUUUACUGCUGUACACCAGGGAUCUCACACUCGCACUUAAAUUUUCCUAUAUAAUCUAAUAUUCUAAUUUGCAAUGUGUGGCCAAAAAAAUUAAACUACAUAUAAUUUGGUGCAUGUGCUUCUUCUCCCCCAUAUAAAAUUGAAGUGGCAUUGGGACCCAACUCGAUCUUUAGUAGCCUUUAGCUUUUAUAGGGCUAUAAAGUUAUAAUAAUAAUUAAAAUACACCAAUCAUAUAUACUAAUAUACAUGAGUUUGGAGAAUGUCCAUUUCCUUUUGAAUAAAAAAUAUACAUUUAUUAUUGGCUUAAUUUUUACAGCUCCUUGUAAACAUAUCGAAUAACAAAUAUAUCUCUAUAAAGUUCAACUUUUUAUAUUUAUUUCUGUAAAAAUUCAGUAAUAUUCAUAUUUGCCUCUCUUGUUUGUUACUAUUAAGACACUGUUUAUUUUUUAGUAGAAGAUAAGUGUAAUGACAUUAUAAACCAUCACAAUAUGUCACUUCAAAAGUCUAAUUGUUAGAAUUAUGUAGAAAAUACUCUCUAAAUUUUUUAACAGUCAUUUUUUUUCUCUAUACCAUCCACAUAAUAUAAGACAGAUAAAAAGAUUAAUUUAUCUUAUUCACUAUUAAGGAUUAAGUAUUUUAUCUGUGGUUAACUAUAUUUUUUUAACAAACCGCUAUUAGUAGGGGAUAUUUGAAAAACGUUAGGAUUUUAAUAGGAAAAAACAUGAAAAGGUUAAAUUUUAUAAGAACAUAUUUGCUAUUCGAUAUGUUUCGCGGAAGCUGUAUGCAAUUCAAUCUAUUAUUUAUAUGCAUGUCAACUUGAGCUUGUUGUGACCCUUAUUAUUAUAUUAUUAUUAUUAUUAUUAUUAUUAUUUUAUUUUCUUUGGGCUUGUUUUAAGUUCUGUGGUUAGGAGGCAUCCCCACAUGUUUUGGGGGGAUAACUUGAGGCUUGCUUAUAAUGAUGUCACAGAAAUAAUAGGGAAAAAUGUGCAAGACCCCUAAGCUUCAACAGUUAGCAAGUAGGGCUUAAUUUUUAGUUUUGAUAGUUAGAUUAUCUAAAACAUAUCAUAUAGUUUUAAUAGAUCAUUAUUAUCUCAUUUUGAUCGUAUUGCAUAUAAUCUCACGACGCUUUAAAAUAUCAAAAAAAAUAUUGUUUUUAUUUUAAUACAGGGACAAAAUAAUAGAUUGUCUUGAAUCUUCAAUUAUAAUGCUUAUUUACAAAAUUAUGUGCGAGAUUAUGUAAUCAAACGGCUGUUUAAUUGGUAACUUCACUCUACAAAAAGAUCUAAUUAAAUUAUUUUGAUUAAAAAAAAAACUAAUAGCUAAAAAUUAAGUCUAUUUAUAAAAAUGAUAAAGUUCAGUGGCCUUUAUACAUUUUUUUGCCAAUAAUAGCUUGGUGUUUCUAGUAGUAGAGACAACAAAAUUUCUGGUAGAUAUGCUUAGAAGCUUCUUUGUGAUGUGACAUACAUUUUUUUUAAUAAUCUAGAAAUAUGUACCAAGAUUUCUUGAAGUUUGAUUUUAAUUUUGAUAACUAUAUUUUUUAAUUUUUGUAAAAUAAUUUAUAAGAUCAAUCAUCGCAUUCAGCCACCAUUUAUAUAAUCUGCUUAUACAAAAAAAUUAUUCUUUUAUCCUAACAUAUAGAUAAUAAUAAUAAUAAUAGAUAGAUAGAUUCGACCCUAUUAAUUUUUCAAUUCUAGUGCUUAGUAACUAAUUAGGUUUACAACAACCGCAGAAAUCGAUCAUGAUCAAAUUUGAGUACCUCUACGGAUAGUUUAAACUUCUUUAAAAUUUGAAGUUAUAUAAAAUCGUGUGCAAGAUGUGAUCAAAUUGCUAUAUUUUUUCUUUUUUUUUUUCAAUUGUGAAGAGAGAUUUAACAAAUAAUUUGAGAAAGUUUAGGAAUCUAACCGUCGAGAGCAAAAGUUCAAAGGUUUUGGCUUGCAAAAGCACUAAAAGUUUAGGGAGUUGGGUAAUUUUUCUUUCUUAGGUUAUUUUCAUAUGGUACCUCAACAAAGGUGACGAAUAGUAAAUAAAUUCCAAUAAAAUCUUAAUAAUCAAAUUUAUUUCUCCAAAAAUUCAAUGGUUUGCAAAUUAUAUCUUUCUCUUCCUCCCCUUGCUUCGUAGCUGACCGUGCAACAUACAUCAUCUCUCACUGUGGCCAAGGGUCAUCACUACAAUUUUGAAAAAGAGAUCCGAUCACUUAAGUUUUAUAAAAAUUUAUUUAUUAUUUGAUACUUUUAUAGAAAUCCAUAUAAUAAUUAUUCUCUUUAAUUUUCACUAUGGAAAAUGGGAAUGUCUCUUUCCUUAUAAGUGAAAAAGUUACAAUACGUCAAUCAUUUAGCUUUGCUUGUUAAACUUGCUAUUUUGUUCUUUCUUUUUUAAUCAUUUGAGGCAACUCCCCCUAAUUAUUAGAAGAAAGAACAAAUGAUGUGAGAGUCAAUUAAACUUCGCAUUGUAAUUAUUAGAAGAAACCACAAAUGAUGUAAGUCAUAUAAAUAACUAUAUCUUAGUACUCCUAGAGUGGNNNNNNNNNNNNNNNNNNNNNNNNNUUUAUUGUAGCUACUGUUUUAUUUACCUGCAUCUAUACUUGUCAGCUCCUUACUUAUCAGCAUCUUUACUUACCAGUACUUAUGUCUAUCUAGUUCUCCGUGUUGUUGUAUAGCUCUCUUCCUGAUCCGGUGAGUACUCCUCGCCUUCUUCGGCUUGCGGUACCCACUGGGAGGGGAGACAUGUUUACAUGUUCUCACCUCCCCCACCAUUUUUCAGGUAUCGCGGGCGAUGAGUAGUGGGACGAGACGUGAGGUACGUGUGUAGCGGUCGAUAGAGCUUCCGACCCAGGUUAUUUCGAUUUAGUUAUUAUCCUUGGAAUUUCUGUUGAUAUAUAGUUUAGUUAGUUUAUGUGGUUCAGUAUUUACAUUUGAAAAUGUGAAUUUCUGUAUUUUGUAAAAUAAAAGGUUUUCUACCCCUCGUGGUAGCGCUUUUAAAAGAAUAAAGGUUUCUGUGUAGGAAACAGUUUUCAAAAGAUUUUUGUGGAUUUCUGUUUAAACCUUGAAUGUAAAACUGUGAUGUGAAUGGUGAAUGUAUGAAUGUAUAGUUAUCUUUAUAUUCAUCUGGUUGUGGUUGUAUCCUGAUUGUACUGUGUAUUUGAUCGACGCCGUACAAAUACAGGGGAGACUUUGUCCGUGUGAACAGUGGAUUCCCUGUAUUUGUGGCGGAUCUGGCAUACUCUGGGGUCAGGUUUAAAAAAAAAAAAAAAAAAAAUUCAUACGCUUUUCCGCUUUGUUUUAAACCGAAAAAGGGCACCGGGGCGUGACAUAGGACUCCCUCAUCACCAUCUCUGGCUCCCAAGUCGCCUCCCGCUCCUCAUGAUUACUCUACUGCACCUUUACAUACGGGAUGACCCGAUUACGCAAUUCUUUCGUCUCCCGAGCGAGAAUCCGCAACAAUCACUCCUCGUAUCUCAGAUCCUCGCUAAUCUCUAGCGGAGUGAAGUCGAUCACGUGAGAAGGAUCGAACACGUAUCUCCUCAAUGCCGAGACGUGGAAGGCAUCGUGGAUACCGGUCAGUCGGGGAGGUAGAGCAAUCCUAUAAGCAACUGGUCCAACUCACUCCAAUACCUCAAAAGGGCCUACAAAACGUGGACUGAGCUUUCCACGUACACCAAAUCGGCGAAUCCCUCUGGACGACGAGACUUUAAGAAAAACAUGAUUUCCAACCUAGAACUCUAAGUCUUGUCUCUUGGUAUCGGCAUAGCUUCUUUGGCGGCUCUGGGCUGUCAAAAGGUGUCGUCGAACAACUCUCACCUUUUCCUCAGCCUCUAGUAAAACCUCAGGCCCAUGCGUCUUCCUUUCACCCACAUCACUCCAACACAAAGGGGAUCGACAUAUGCGUCCAUACAACGCAUCAAACGGAGCCAUAUGGAUGCUCGCUUGAUAGCUGUUAUUGUACGCAAACUUAGCCAGUCUCAAACGUCGAUAUCACCCUCCUCCAAAGUCCAAGACGUAUGCUCUCAGCAUGUCCUCAAGAGUCUGAAUGGUCCGCUCUGACUGACCAUCUGUCUGUGGGUGAAACGCUGUGCUGAACUGCAACUGUGUACCCAAGACUGUCUGCAAACUCCUCCAGAAGUGUGAUAAAAAUCUCAGAUCCCUAUCAGAUACGAUCGAAAUCGGCAUGCCAUGCAGCCUAACAAUCUCAUCCAGAUAUAGCUGCGCGAGUCUCUCUCUGGACCAGGUGGUCUGAACCGGUAGGAAGUGAGCAGACUUAGUCAGUCUGUCCACUAUCACCCAAAUCGCAUCAUAGCCACCCUGUGCUCUAGGCAAUCCCACGAUAAAAUCCAUCGUGAUCUGCUCCCAUUUUCACUCGGGCACUGGCAGAUUCUGAAGCUUGCCAGCAGGUACCUGAUGCUCGGCCUUUACCUGUUGACAAGUCAGACACUGAGCCACAAAUCUACCAAUGUCUCUCUUCAUUCCAUUCCACCAAAACUGUGCCUUCAGAUCCUUAUACAUCUUGGUUCCACUAGGGUGAACCGUAUAAGGUAAACAAUGAGCCUCUCUCAAAAUAUUCUCUUGGAUCUCCGCAUCCCCAGGCACACACAGUCGAUCAUUGUACCGCAGUACUCCCGAACUGUCCACAACAUGCUGGCUAUACCGGUACCAGAGGCCAACCCGAGAGCAGUCUGCGCGCAACCCUGUGAAGUGUACCGGUACACCAUGCUGGCUGUACCGGUACAGCAAGCAGAGAAACCUGCUAUUUGCAGAUUCCCUUGCCAAAAGCUGCUCUCACGUCGCACAGAGUUCGUUUUGCCUCUAUUUCGGGUCAACGCGACUCAGACUUGUCCCGACACUCUCCAGAGCUGUCGACAAGCCUUUACUGCUGUACACCAGGGAUCUCACACUCGCACUUAAAUUUUCCUAUAUAUCUAAUAUUCUAAUUUGCAAUGUGUGGCCAAAAAUUAAACUACUAUAUAAUUUGGUGCAUGUGCUUCUUCUCAACCCCAUAUAAAACUAUGAAGUGGCAUUGGGACCCAACUCGAUCUUUAGUAGCCUUUAGCUUUCUAUAGGGCUAUAAAGUUAUAAUAAUAAUUAAAAAUACACCAAUCAUAUAUACUAAUAUACAUGAGUUGUGGAGAAUGUCCAUUUCCUUUUGAAUAAAAAAUAUACAUUUAUUAUUGGCUUAAUUUUAUACAGCUCCUUGUAAACAUAUCGAAUAACAAAUAUAUCUCUAUAAAGUUCAACUUUUUAUAUUUAUUUCUGUAAAAAUUCAGUAAUAUUCAUAUUUGCCUCUCUUGUUUGUUACUAUUAAGACACUGUUUAUUUUUUAGUAGAAGAUAAGUGUAAUGACAUUAUAACCAUCACAAAUAUGUCACUUCAAAAGUCUAAUUGUUAGAAUUAUGUAGAAAUAUCCUCUCUAAAUUUUUUAACGGUCAUCUUUUUUUCUCUAUACCAUCACAAAUAAUAUAAGACAGAUAAAAAGAUUAAUUUAUCUUAUUCACUAUUCAGGAUUAAGUAUUUUAUCUGUGGUUAACUAUAUUUUUUUAACAAACCCUAUUAGUAGGGGGAUAUUUGAAAAACGUUAGGAUUUUUAUAGGAAAAAACAUGAAAAGUUAAAUUUUAUAAGAACAUAUUUGCUAUUCGAUAUGUUUCCGGAGAGCUGUAUGCAAUUAAUCUAUUAUUUAUAUGCAUGUCAACAUUGAGCUUGUUGUGACCCUUAUUAUUAUUAUUAUUAUUAUUAUUAUUAUUAUUAUUUUAUUUUCUUUGCCUUGUUUUAAGUUCUUGUGGUUAGGAGCAUCCCCACAUGUUUGGGGGGAUAACUUGAGCUUGCUUUAUAAUGAUGUCACAGAAAUAAUAGGGGAAAAAUGUGCAAAGACCCCCUAAGCUUCAACAGUUAUGCAAGUAGGUGCUUAAAUUUUAGUUUUGAUAGUUAGAUUAUCUAAACAUUAUCAUAUAGUUUAAUAGACAUUUAUCUCAUUUUGAUCGUAUUGCAUAUAAUCUCACGACGCUUUAAAAUAUCAAAAAAAAUAUUGUUUUUAUUUUAAUACAGGACAAAAAUAAUAGAUUGUCUUGAAUCUUCAAUUAUAAUGCUUAUUUACAAAAUUAUGUGCGAGAUAUGUAAUCAAACGGCUGUUUAAUUGGUAACUUCACUCUACAAAAAAGACUAAUUAAAUUAUUUGAUUAAAAAAAAAACUAAUAGCUAAAAUUAUGUCUAUUUAUAAAAAUGAUAAAGUUCAGUGGCCCUUUUACAUUUUUUUUGCCAAUAAUAGCUUGGUGUUUCUAGUAGUAGAGACAACAAAAUUUCUGGUAGAUAUGCUUUAGAAGCUUCUUUGUGAUGUGACAUACAUUUUUUUAAUAAUCUAGAAAUAUGUACAAAGAUUUCUUGAAGUUUGAUUUUAAUUUUGAUAACUAUAUUUUUUUAAUUUUUGUAAAAUAAUUUAUAAGAUCAAUCAUCGCAAUUGCAGCCACCAUUUAUAUAAUCUGCUUAUACAAAAAAAUUAUUUCUUUUAUCCUAACAUAUAGAUAAUAAUAAUAAUAAUAGAUAGAUAGAUUCGACCUAUUAAUUUUUCAAUUCUAGUGCUUAGUAACUAAUUAGGUUUACAACGAAACCCAGAAAUCGAUCACUGAUCAAAUUUGAGUACCUCUACGGGAUAGUUUAAACUUCUUUAAAAUUUGAAGUUAUAUAAAAUCGUGUGCAAGAUGUGAUCACAAUUGCUAUUUUUUUCUUUUUUUUUUUUCACUUGUGAAGAGAGAUUUAUCAAACUAUUUGAGAAAGUUUAGGAGAUCUAACCGUCGAAAGCAAAAGUUCAAAGGUUUUGCUUGCAAAAGCACUAAAAGUUUAGGGAGUUGGGUAAUUUUUCUUUCUUAGGUUAGUUUCAUAUGGUACCCAACAAAGGUGACGAAUAGUAAAUAAAUUCCAAUAAAUCUUAAGUAAUCAAAUUUAUUUCUCCAAAAAUUCAAUGGUUUGCAAAUAUAUCUUUCUCUCUCCCCUUGCUUUCGUAGCUGACCGUGCAACAUACAUCAUCUUCACUGUGGCCAAGGGGUCAUCACUACAAUUUUGAAAAGACAGAUCCGAUCACUUAAGUUUUAUAAAAAUUUAUUUAUUAUUUGAUACUUUUAUAGAAAUCCAUAUAUAAUUAUUCUGCUUUAAUUUUCACUAUGGGAAAUGGGAGAUGUCUCUUUCCUUAUAAGUGAAAAAAGUUACAAAUACGUCAACAUUUAGCUUUGCUUGUUAAACUCUUCUAUUUUGUUCUUUCUUUUCUAAUCAUUUGAGGCAACUCCCCCUAAUUAUUAGAAGAAACAACAAAUGAUGUGAGAGUCAAAUUAAACUUGCAUUGUAAUUAUUAGAAGAAACCACAAAUGAUGUAAGUCAUAUAAAUAACUAUAUCUUAGUACUCCUAGGAGUGGAGACAAAUGAAUUUCUAUGUAGUUUUGCCAUGCUUAGGCCCUACAUAUAUAUUGCUUAGAGGUCUCUAGUGAUGUGACAAUUUUUUCUUUUUUUAAUAAUUUUAUUGAAGCAUAUUUAGAAGGUAAAUGUCAUUAAAAUUCAUUUAAAGUCAAUGAUAUUAUGUAUAAAUAAGAAUUUUUCAUUUUAUUCUUUAAAAAUUCGACUAUAUUUGCAAUAUCUAGCUCGAACUUUCUGAAUUGUUGCAAUCAAAUUACACAAUUUAAUUUAAAAUCAGAAUUAAUGAUCUUGAUCUUAAUAAUGAAUAUAAUUUUCUAUAAAAAAAAUUCAGCUGAUUUUGAUUCUUGUAUACUAUUAAGCUAAANAAAAAAAAUUCAGCUGAUUUUGAUUCUUGUAUACUAUCUUCUGAAUCGACAAUCCAUAUCGAUCGUUAAAAUUGUCAAUUUUAAGAUAUUUUUAUUGUAAGUUAUAUGAUAUCAAAAAAUUAUAAAAUUUGGUUUUUAGUAUGUUUCCAUACUAUAAAUUGUAUUUAAACGGUAUGGAUUGUCGAUUCAGAAGUUCUAUUAUAAAAAAUAAUUUAUGAAUAUGAAAGGCUCUAAACUCAUAAAAGUGCAGUAGCUAGCUGUACUAUAUAUAAUGGUGUAGAUUAUCGAUUCAGAACUUCUAUUAUUAAAAACGAUUUAUGAGUAUGAAAGCCUCUUUACUCAUAAGAAUAUAGUUGUCAUGCUAAAUAUAGGGAGAGUAGAAUUAGUGUGCUAUUAUAAGCACGGAGGCCUCCAUACUUUUAAGUCGUUUUCGAUGAUGAAACUUUUGAAUUGAUGAUUGACUCGUUAGACUUGAUCUAAUAUAUUUGAAAUACCUAAAAAAUAAAUUUUAUUAUUUUUUAUAUAAAUUACCUAUUAAUUGAAAGGACUCAAGAUCAAAUGGGUUAGAAUACUAUUGGCAGCAAAUAUGCUCUGUUGCCAUCGAUUUGCUUUUGAUGAUGAAGUCUCGAAAUUGAUGAUCAGCAUCAUUAAACAUAAUUUAGACCAUUUGAAAUAUUUAAUAAUCAAAUUUUAUAUUUUUUUCGACAUCACCUAAUGAUUAAACGGUCGCAAAAUUUAUAAUUUUAAUGAUUGAUACAAAGCAUUUGCUCGUUUAACGGCGCAAAAGAUAUCAAAUCAGUUAAAUUUUUCUAGAUAAUUUUUUAAACUUUUAAAAUAAAAUCUAUACUCUUAAUCUUAUUCAUUAUUUGUUGAAUGAUAAUUAUUUUUUCAUUUUUGUGCCUACUUGAUGCACAAGAAAAUAAUAUGGAAAAAAAUAUAGAAAUUUAAUUUCUAGAUAUUUCAAAUCGUUUAGAUCAUGAUCAACGAUAUCGAUUGUCGAUUUUGAGCCUUAAUCAUCGAAAAUAAAUAGGUAACAACGGAGUCCGUUUGCUAUUGAUAGUAUUCAAACAAAGCCUUAAUGCCUGACAAGUUGUAAGAGGCGUUCUUCAAAAUAUAAGAGCAACAUGAUAAUUUAGAGCCUAAAUUACCAACUGUGCUAACAGUAAAAGAUUAUUAGUUGCUCAAUCACUACAUUUUAAAUAUCCAUAAUUUUUUGCAGGAAAACUACAUGGUUAGGAAAUUGCUUAUUGGAUCUAUAACACACUUAACCCAUAGGGACCCUUUUUAUUUGACUGAAUUGCCCUUUUGGUCCUCAAAAUUUAAAUUAAUUUUUAUUUUGAACUUUCUAAAUUAUGGCAAUUAAGUUUCAAGAUCCAAUUUAAUUAACUUAAUGCUAACAUGUCGGUAAUGCGGAAGUAAUAUAUAGCAUUUUAAUUAAUGAUACGGCAUUGAUUAAAAUGUCAUAUUCCUUUCACAUCAACGACUGCAAUCUUUAGUCAACUAAAUUCUUUUGAGGCAGUAUUUUGCAACAAUUUAGAAAAUUUGAGGACCAAACAGUCACGCCCGUCAAUGUUCGGGGACCAAAUUAAGGUAUAAUUUAGCCAAAAUUUUGGUUUGGCUCAUAAUAUGAUGAAAGGUACACUUAGAUCCAUGUUAUCUUGGGGGAUAGCAACUGGUGGAGAGAGAUAAAAAUAAUAAGCAGCAUUAUUUGGGAUGGCCCUACUGUUUUUGUUUUCGGUGUUGAAUUAUUGAUCUUGUUUGGUCGGAAUUAUUGUUCCUUAAAAUUCGCAAUGAAAAGUCCAAGAUCCCAAAAUCAUCAUCAUGUGGUGUUGGGCUUUCUUUGCAUUUAAUUCCUUAACAAUUUCUUUUUACAAAUAGCCUCAUAAAAUUUAUAUUUGUAAAACUGAUUCUAUCUCUGCCACGUGAGCGCUACGCAAGCGCUACGUUGGAAGUGAAGUUUUUUUAAGUUGAAUACGCUAAACUAUUUACCGUGUUCAAAUACGAUGACUUCGUGUUCCCCCUUGUACCUUUUUUACCAAUAAAUCGCCGUGGAUGUGUGGUGAUGGUCGGAUUUCCCUACAAGACCGCCAAGGUGGUAGAAGGAAGCACCGCGGAUGGAGGCUCGACGAGAAUGUGGUGGUUAUGGCCGUUGUGGUGGUGGUGGGGCAGGCGCUGGAGGAUGUAGAGUUGGAGCUCAUGGGGUGCGGCAACGGCAGAGGAGUAGGAGGUGGCAGCUACGGAGGAUGCAUAUAGCAGGCGAGGAGGCGGAGGAGAAGGAGAGGGGAUGCGCCGGGCUAUGUGUCACGAACACAAAAAAUUCUAGAAUGCAACGGGUAUAUUGAUGACGUGGCGUAACAAAUCAAUCAAAUGUCUCAUUUUAAAGGUAUAUGUCCUAUCAUGAUUAUAAAAAAAAAUAUUUUUAUUGUACUUUUGUUUGAAAAGAAGAAAUGUGAUUGACUUGUUAUUGAUGACGUGGUGUAAAUGUAACAGUAUAGAAUUCCUCCACGGACACGGACAUGGAACACGGGACACGACACCACUCAGCAAAGUUCAAAAGAUAAGGACAUGGACACGGCAAAGACACGACUAAUAAAAUAUAAUAUUUUUAGUAUAACAUACAUAUUUAUUAUAUAUAAUAUAAUAAUUUUGCAAACAAAAUUAUGUUUUUUAUAAGGGAUUCAAGGAUCUACCAAAUUAUCAUUACUUGAUGCCAUAAUUCUACAACAUUGAGGAAAAAAAAAAUAUACACAUUAAAAAAAUAACCGUUAAUUUUAAUUAUAAUACGGAUGUAAAAAAAAAUUAAAAUAAAAAGAAAGAGAAAAAGAAAGAGAAUAUCUUUUAACGUUAGAGGCUUUAUUGAAGAAAAAUCUAACAGAGAUCAAAGAUGAGAUAAAUAAUUUUUUUAUUAGGAGUAGAACUAUAUAAAUUUUUUUUAAUUAUAUUUUUUUCUAAAAUUGUACAUGAAUUUUUUUUUUUUGGGAAAACUUCAAAAACCCCCCCUGUGGUUUCGUGCAUUCUCACUUUGCUACCCUGUGGUUUAAAACGUAUCAAUUUACUCCCCUGUGGUUUCAUUUUUAUCUUUUCGGAAGCUUUUUCGUUAAUAUUUCGUUAAAUUAUAUACAAAAAACUUCAAAUAACCAUCUAUAUUUAUCGAAUAGUCACUUUAGUAUCCUUUAAUUUUAACUUUGUCACNAGGGCGAGGGUGAGAGCAUGAGGGUGAGAGGCGAGGCGGGCCAUUUUCGCCUCCGCCUCUGUCUCUGUUGCUUUCUUCGGCGAGAGGAAAAAAAAUCAACGAGAGAAAAGAGGAGGAGAGAGAAAGAGGAAAGAGAAAAAGUAAUAAUGGUAUUUUCGUCAGUUUGCUGAAAUAGCUGACCGAAUCUACAAAAAUGAAAAAGGUGGCCCAGUUUUGCAAAAGCCCAAAAUUAGUGAAUUUUUUAUGCAAAUUGGCCUAGUUAAUAUAUUAGGAAUACUUUUGUAUAUUUUGAAGCUCGGAAGAAAUGUAUAUAUUAUAUAUGAUAAUUGAAAAGUAAAAGUAUAUAGAACAUACGAUUAUUUAUGACUCAUUUUAAUUCAACUAUUUAAAAUAAAAAAAAAUGAUUUAGCUACCUAAUUUUUAAAUUCAUUUGAUUUGACCUUUUAAUAACUCUUAAACUACAAAAAUUAAAUGCAUAAUUCAUUUUUCAUACAAUUUAUGCAACUACAAUUUUAUUAAAGUGAGUAGACUAUCAAAUGGUUUAUUUCAGGUAAAUUUAAAGAUUGAGUAUUAAAAUCAAAAUUUUCAAAGGUUGAGUGGUUGAAUCAAAACAGACCAAAAUUCAGAUAAAUUCAAUAAAUUAUUACACAGUUUAAAUUUUAUAGGGAUAAAAUUUUAAUUUUAAAACCGUAGGUAUAUACAUAUGAAAUUGUGUCCAAGAAUAAACAGUGCCCUUAUCUCUUCGCCUCUCUGAGCUCUCUCUCUCUCUCUGUCUCUCUCUCUUUAAUAAAUGGUCGACUCUCUGUGAGCUCUUCGCCUGUCUUCCGAAUCAAAGCAGGUAAGUUCAAUUUCUGCUGGUUUAAUCGCUAUUCUCAAGAAAAGAGAAGCCGAGUGCCAUCUCAUCCAUGUCUGUCGGCGCCCAAUAUUCUAUCUGCUAUCCUUCACCGUCGUUCCUCCCGGUUAGCUCCUCCGUAAGCUCUGCUCCCCUGUUCCGGUUGCCGCCUUCUGCUUCCACACUAAACUAAACUAAACUAAACUAAACCAAACUAAACUCUCCCACGUUCCUUAAUUUUUUUUUUUGUCCCAGAGGGCGGCGGAGCCGAAGCCCUGCCGCAGCUGUAGAAUCAUCUCCGCGACUGCCCAGGUUUGCCCGUUGCUUUCGACGCUCCUCCUCCCCUCCCCCUGCAUUCCUCUCAACCUAUUCGAGAAACCAUCACGAGUGUGUAAUUCUUCUGGUUCCAGGGGGGAGAAAGUCGCAGCAGAAGGCGCGUAUGGCGCCGCCGCAAGCUGGUAUGUGCCCACCUCCUAGGGCAUUGAUCGAUCUCUAUUUUCCUUUUUAAGCUUGAUAAUGAGGUUUUCAUGUUUGAUGUUGUAAAAUGUAUGUUGGGGAAACCGUUUUGUAUGCUUUGGCUGCACAUUCAAGGCUAUACUAGACUAGAUGUAAUUUUCUUGGCACCCUGCUCUAGGGGUGGCAAUCCAGCUCGCUGUUCGCGAGCCAGCUCGUGUUUCGGCUUGAAAUGAGCUCGAGAUCGGCUCGCUCGUUUAGUAAACGAGCCGAACACAAGCUGGAUUUUUCAGCUCGUUUAAUAAACAAGCCGAACACGAGCUGUGGUCAGCUCACUCGUGUUCGGCUCGAUAACAGCUCGAAUACAUAUAUUUUAUAUUUAUAUAAUUUAUUUAAUUUAUAUUUUUAUAUAUAAAUAAAUAAUUAUAUAUAAUAUAUAUUUCUAUUAGUUAAUUUUUAACAAAAUAAAAAUAUAAAUGCAAGUUUAAUUAUAAAAAAAUUUAUUUAUAUGUAAAGUUUUAACUAUUACAUCAAAGUCUAAUGGAUAAGAUUUUAUAAAUUUAUUUUUUAUAUAUAUUUAAUCUAAUUUUUUUUAAUUUAUUGUUUGUUGGCCAGCUCGUGCACUAGCUCGUGUUCAGCUCGUUAAUAAACGAGCCGAACACGAGCUGGAUUUUUCGGCUCGGUACUUUAGUGAGCCAGCUCGUGUUCGGCUCGUUUAAUGAACGAGCCGAACACGAGCCAACUCCAGCUAGCUCGUGUUCGGCUCGUUUACACCCCUACAUAACGCUUAACCACGUAGAAUCAUUCACCUUCAUAAAGAGGAAGCAAGUGGCUCUUCCACGGAUAACAAUUCUUUAUUGGGGGCAAUCCGGUGAUUGGUGUAUUCAACUCAAACUCAACCGUCGAUCUUAUAUGGCAAAGAUAAGGCCAAUUUUAUAAAUAUAAAUUUUAUAGGAUUAUUUGUAAAUUUUUUUUAUUAAGAGGCUAAAUACAAAAAAAGCCUAAUAAUAUACUCUCAAAAGAGUAAAAUGUACGGAUUCUUCUUCUACUAUCAUGAUAGUGCAAAGUUGAGUAAUAUAUAACUUUUAUGUUAAUUAAACCGUUUAAAUUUCUAAAAAAUUAUAUAUAUUAAACUUUUAGUCUAUAAUCGUAAUCCCGAACUUAUAUCAGUUUAAUGUGACAAGAAUUAGAAUGUCUAUUUUCUACGGAAAAAAAUGAAAUUUGUCUUAACGUUCUGCGAGUGAAGUUUAGAAGUGUGUUGCAAUAUAAGAAAAGUAGAGGGACUAUUCUGCAUUUUUACCCAUUGAUGAAUGACCAAUCAAUUGCAUGAUUGAUGAUCUUUUGAGUGACAGGUGUCAGCAGGAUGUGCAAUCACGUUGAAUAUGUAAUUUCCACAUGUUAUUUUUAUUUUCUUGAAUUUUCUAGGAUUUGUUUGAUUAAUUCUAGUUGUUAUCACAUGACCAUCACCUUAAAUUUUAGUGAGAUGUGUCACCAUAAAUGGAUUACUGGUUAGGAACUUAAUUUGUUCCUUGUUAAGCAACUCUAUAGAUAAUAAUAAACUAUUCACCGAUUUAUUUUCGAUGAUAAAACUUUAAAAAUCGACAAACAGCAUUAUUGAACAAAAUCUAAACCAUUUAAAUAAGUUGGAAAUUAAAUUAUAUAUUUUUUUCGGUAUUAUUCUCUGGUUCACCAAAUAUACAUAAAAUAAAUAUCCUUAAACAAAGUGAUAAUACAAUUUUUAUAUUUAAGACCUAGAGUUUAUAUCAUGUUAUAAAUAGUUUAAAAAAUUUUCCAACAGAAAUUCAACUGAUUUGAAAUUUUUUAUACUGUUAAACGAGUAAACACGUCAUACUUAUAAAUUUUGUAAUUCUUUGAUCGUUCGAUUAGUGAUUUGGAAUAGCUUGGCUUGUGUGCUUUUAGAAGUAAUUUUGUCUUCGUGUUAUCAAGUCGUUUUUUAUUCUAGGACUUGUGAAUUGACGAUCGACUCAGUUAGACUUGAUCUAGAGUAUUCGAAGUAUUUAAAAAAUAAAUUUUGCUAUUUUUUAAUAUUAUUUAUCUAGUGAUCGAAAUAGCUCUAAAUCAACAGCCGAAAAUAAAAAACUUAUAAAAAUUGAUGAUAUGAACUAAAAUUUUAGAUCAAAAAUAUUAAUCUUGUUCUAUAUAGUAUAAAAAAUUUUUAAUUAAAAUUUUACGUGAUUUGAAUAUUUUUAUACUGUUAAACUUAUAAACGUCUCACUAAGAUCAUUUAAAUUAUUGAUUUUUGGUCCCUCCGAAACAGAUUACUAGCCAAAUGAUAUCGAAAAAUUACAAAAUUUAUUUUGAAGCUACUUCAUCAAGUCUAAUAUAGUAGAUCGUCAAUUCGAAAGUCAUAACAUAGUGUGUCAAUGUGUGUGUCUAUAUAUGUAUAUUUAUAUAAGAAUCCAGCUACUAUUCUUUUAGGAGAACGAAGGUCUUCGUCCUCCUAAAUCAUUUUAGAUGAUAGGAAUUUCAAAUCGAUGAUCAGAGCCGUUAAACUUGAUGUAGAGUAUUUAAAGUGUUUAAAAACUAAAUUUCAUGAAUUUUAAAAAUUACUUACGUAGUGAUCAAAGGAUCACAAAAUCAAUAAUUUUUAAUGGCCUAUACGAUCUGCUUGCUAGUUUAACGACGUAGAACAAUCCAAACAGUUUGAUUUUUUGAUAGAAAAUUCUUUAUGCUUUUUAGAUAAUAUUUGAUAAUUUCGACCAUGAAUUGAAAAGAUCUAACAUCUAUUUUCACAAGGUUAUUCGUUUUUUACCGUUUAUUUUUCGACUCUUCAAUGAACUUAACGACGAAUUUUAAAAUUUAUAAAAUUUAGUUUCUACACGUUAUAAAUACUCUAAAUCAACUUUAACGGUUCUGAUAAUCAAUUCAGAAUUUCUAUUAUCUAAAACGACUUAGAAGGACGAAGGCCCCCGUCCUCCUAAAAGAAUAGUAGCUGGACUGUAUAUAUAUUAAUUUAUAUUUUAUAUUUUUAUAUAUAUUUUUGUCAUAAGCAAGGGGGGCCAAUGAGCUGGAGAGCCAUGUGCACUGAGGAGAUACUAAGAAUGUGGUAGUGUACCAUGUGAGAAGAGGAUCUAUAUUAGAUUGAAGCUUAUUAUUUCAUGUUAAAUAUUGCUAAGUUACAAUGAAUGGUGACCACACCUCAAAUAAUAAUAAUAAUAAUAAUAAUCAUCAUAAGGGUAUAUUGCUUAUUUGGUCCUCAAACCAUAAAGUGUAUGAAUUUUUUAUCCUCAAACUUUAAUUUGUUGUAAUUUUUGUUCAAACUUAAUUUAAAUUGUAUUACAAUCAAGCCCUAUAGCCUAAUUUAGUUAGCUAAAUAUUGAUUUAACGCUAAAGUUAGUGUGACUAAUGAUGUGCCAAUAAUUAAGAUGCUAUAUUUUUUUUUUUCAUCAGCGAUGCAUCAAUAUAUAGUCAACUAAAUUGGAUCGUAGGACUUCAUUGGAAUACUUCUGAAAGUUUAAGCUAAAAAUUGCGAUAAAAUAAAAUUUGACUUUAAGCCAAAAAUUGCGAUAAAUUAAAAUUUGAGAUCUAAAAUUAUCACCUAACUCAUAGUUUGAGAACCAAACGUACAAUUUACCUUAAAAAGAAAAAAAAAAGAUAUAGAGACACCUCAAUUUUACUUUUUUUUAUUAACGGUAAUUUUGUCAAAUUUAAUAACUCUAAUUAUUUAAUAAUAAAAUAAAAAUAUCAUAAUAAUUAACAAGCAGUAGUAAAUAGAUUUUCUGACAAUGCCAACUCGAAUAAUUCAACAUAUCGUACAUAAUAAGAGUACAAUUAUUGAGGGAUUCGAAAAAGAAGGGUCUAGAUCAACUUUUUGGAGAAUGAUUUGGAAAAGGGUAAAGAAUAUGUUUUAACAUUAAAUGGAUAAUAAUUACAAAUGCGAAAUUUUCGAACAAUUCAUUACAUAUAUUUUACAGGAUUAAUUUCAUAAAGAUUUACAUAUAUUUUAUAGGAUUAAUUUCAUACAAAUCCCUAUAAACAUAAUGAAUUGCAAAUAUAUUCCUACAAAGUUCAACUUUUAUAUAUUAUUACUGUAAAAAUCCUAAUAUUUUCAAAUAUGUUCAUUUGAUUCGUUACCAUUAAAAUACUAUUUAUUUUAUAAGUGAAAUGACUAUUUUGCCAUCACAAAUAUGCCCCUCUAAAAAGUCCCAACUAUUGAUUAAAGAAAAGUAAAAAGUCAAUUCACCUCAUUAACUAAUUAACGUUAAGUAUUUUACCUGUGAUUAACUAAUUUUUUCUAAUGAAUCCUAACGAUAGGGAUAUAUUUGAAACCAUCAGAACUUUUACAGAGACAACAAAUAAAAGUUGAACUUUGAAGGAAUAUAUUUAUAAGGGAUAAUUACCUAUAUACCCCUUAUAUGUUUUAAAAUAUCCGAUUUAUCCCUACUUUUUUUUUUUUCUUUCUAAAAUACCCCUCAUAUAUUCCACCGUUAUUGUAAAAUACCACCGCAGUUAGGGGUGGCAAUCCAGCUCACUGUUCGCGUGCCAGCUCGUAUUCGGCUCGAAAUGAGCUCGAGAUCGGCUCGCUCGUGUAGUAAACGAGCCGAACGCGAGCUGGAUUUUACAACUCGUUUAAUAAACAAGCCGAACAUGAGCCGGGUCAACUCGCUCGUGGUUCGGCUCGAUAACAGCUCGAUACAUAUAUUUGUAUUAUAUAAUUUAUUUAAUUUAUAUUAUAUAAAUAAAUAAUUAUAUAUAAUAUAUAUUUUUAUAUUUGAUUUUUAGCAAAAUAAAAAUAUAAAUGCGAGUUUAAUNNNNNNNNNNNNNNNNNNNNNNNNNNNNCAGCUCGAAGCUCGCAAGCCUCUCGAGCAGCCAGCAGCUCGCAGCUCGCAAGCCUCUCGAGCAGCCAGCAGCUCGCAGCUCGCAAGCCUCUCGAGCCUCCCCUGCUGCUUCCCCUGCUGCUUCCCCUUCAGGUAAAUAUAUAAUUAAAUCUAAUAUAAAAAAGACUCAUUUAUAUGUAAAGUUUCAAAAGAUCAAAGUCUAAUGGAUAAUAUUGGAUAAAUUUAUUUUGUAUAUAAAUUUAUACUAAUCAUUUUAAUUUAUUAUUCGUUGGGCAGCUCGUGAGCUAGCUCGUGUUCGGCUCGUUAAUAAACGAGCCAAACACGAGGUGAAUGUUUCGGCUCGAUACUUUAACGAGCCAUCUCGCCGAACACGAGCUGACCCCAGCUCGCUCGUGUUCGGCUCGUUUACACCCCUACCCGCAGUUAUCUCCUGUUAAGUUCACUUAGGUUAAACGUGAGUUAAAUAUCUACCACAGUUAAAAAAAAUUAAAAUGCCAAUUUUGUCCUUGACUUAAGGGCAAAUAAGAAAUAUUAGUGACCGUAGAGGGGUAUGUUUGAAAAGACUAAAAGUCAAAAUACUUUUUGUGCCUCUGACUUUAAGGGCAAAUAAAUAAGAAUAUCAGUGAUGGUGGAAGGAUAUAUUUGAAAUGGCAAAAUAAUAAUUUUACAUAGAUAACAGAGUUAAUUAACAGAUUUUAACUUUAGGAGUAUAGUAGAAAUAGGUUGGAACGUAGAAAGUUAUUUUCAAUAUUAGCUUUCUAAAAGGGAUAAAUCGAAAAAUCGAAACUUUUCAGGAAUAUAUAAGUAAUUGCCUCUAUUUAUAAUACACUAUACUUGUAGAGACCUGCGUGAAAUUAAUUCUAUUUUAUAUGGGUCUGCGAGGUAUAUCUGAGUUAGGGUUGAGUAUUGGAGUUUUCGUUCAUUUCUCGACAUAAAAAAUUUAAUAAAAUAAUAAAUUGAUUAAUGCCAAGGGUAUAUAAAUAAAUAUGCAUAUUUUAAUGGAUAUAAUAAUCCAAAAAAUUCCUGUGGAGGGUCAGAGAGUUUUUAUAUAUAUAUAUAGUUUAUUUGAAAUUCUUUAAUGCAUAAAGAGUUGAAAAUGUCUGUUUGUACAGAUUAUAUUUAAUAAUAAUAUAAAAUUUUUGAUUAAAUUAUAUAGGACAAAAAUGUACAGAGAAAUUCUGUAAACGUUUUAGCUCUUUUGUAAAUAGGCUUCUCAAAUUUCAAUUUUAAAAAUUAGAACCCCUAAUCCCUUUGUUCAGUUAAAAUUACUAAUUAUACAGCCGUUUUAGUCAUAUGCAUAUCUAGCAUAUAAUCGCAGAAACGUAAAAUAAUUAAUUUCUUCUAUUUUAACUUAAGAAAAAGUAACAAAAAUAGAAUGUAAAUUCAAUUUUUAUACUAAAUUAUCAAAAUUAGAAGAGAGAAAAGAAUAAAUUUUAUUUUUUUCAUAUUUGAAAUCUCUUAAAAUUUUGAGAUAGACGUGCAAUCAAAAUAAUUGUGUAAUUAGUAAUCUCCGCUAAGGAAUAAUUGUCAAACUUAAACGUUUUUGUGGUUUUUUUGUAAAUGAGUUAAAGGUUUAGGAGUUCGUUGUGUAUUUUACCCAAUUAUUAUUGGAUAAAUUGCACCUUUGGUCCUUAAACUUUAAUUUAUUAUAAUUUUUUACUCGAAUUUUUAGAAUUAUUACAAGCAAGUCUCAAAAUCCAAUCUACAUAGCUAAUAUCACUGCUUAGCUGAUGUAAAAGUAAUAUAUUAUUUUAAUUUUUAUAGUAUCAUUAAUUACAAUACUUUUAUAUUACUUCUAUAUUAACUGUAUAUCAAUAUUUAAUCAACUAGAUUAGGUUAUCAUACUUAAUUGCAAUAAUUUUAAAAGUUCGAGCAAAAAUUAUAAUAAAUUAAGGGCUAAAUUAUAGAAAUCCCCCCCCUCGCCGCCCCCCCCCACCUACAUACCCAUUUUUUUACUUUUUUUCAAAGAUUUUAAUCUUAAUUUAGCCACUUUAAUUUCAGAAAAUUGUAAAAGAGUCGACAUAAAUUAGGGAUAAAAUAUAAUUGUCUUUACUUUUCCAUCUAAAGAUAUUUUUUUAAAUUUUUUUUUUGUUUUUUGAUGGAUUUAGGGUAGAAAUUUAAAAAAAGACGAAUAGUUGAUUUAAAUCUGACGAAAAUCAGGGAAAAUGGGCCUAAUGUAAAAAUUGAAAUGUUGAAGAUGGUUAUAUAGCUUUUGAAGUUAAGGAUGAGUAAAGUGAAACGGCUUUUGUUGAAAAAAAAUUUUGUGAAUUAUCUUAAUUAAGUUGAGGAUGAUGCUGUAGUUUAUAGUUGAGGUCACGUGCGAUUUAUCUUCAUCGUUCAUGCCAUGUCAGUACAUAUGCGGGUAGCUUUUUGAGGUGGCAUGAGCAGUGUAGUGUAGCUGUUUCCAUCAUCAAUCUGUACGUUUCCAUGUUAUGGCACAACACAUGGUUUUUUUAUGUUAUUUAUGUCCUCUUCAACAAACAACCAAAAAACAAACUAAACACUUUGUGGUUAUUGAUUAGAGGAGAAAGGGUGCAAUGGGAAUUAUUCUCUUAGAUAUCCUAUUUGCAUCAAUUUUAUUAUAUUAGGCUGGGGUACUUACUUCUAUAAGUAUGAACUCCUUGUAUCAUAAAUUUUUACCGUUUGAUUGAUGAGAUGUGUGGUUAGGAUGAUGAGUUCCCAUUAGAUGAUAGUGUUCCCCUAGGGUGAUGGUGUUGGUGAUAGCUAUGAGUAACGGAUGAAUUGAUCAUGAAUAAAUUUAAGGGCGAAAAAUUAUGGUAUAAAGGCCAAUAUAUAAUGUAUCGUGCCGAUCUUAUAUAUAUAUUGGAGAGAGGAGAGGGGGGAGGUGGGUCUAUGUUCUGGAUGUACCCCGGGCUUCCGUAUUUUAGGUCGUUUUCGAUGUUGCGAUUUCGAACGUCGAUCGGGUCGUUAAUUGAUCUGAGUAUUUGAAGUACUAGAUAAUUUUGCAAUUUUUUCGAUAUAAUUUGCUAGUGAAUAGGCACAAUCAACGGCUGAAUUAUAAUUUACAAAACGUGUAUAUGACGUUAAAUUUUAGAUCAAGUAUUAAUCUGUUUAUAUAGUAUAAAAAAAUUUUAUCAAAUUUGCGUGAUUUGGAUAUUUUCUACCCUUCAACUUGCAAAUGUUUCACACGGAAUUAAAAUUAUUGAUUUUGGUUUCGGUAUAUGCAAAUUAAUAUCGAAAAUUUAUUAAGAAUUUUUUUGUAGGUACUUCAAUUAUCUAGUUUAAAAUUUAAGGAGCUUCGACAUUCGAAAGGUCGAAAUCGACGGCCAGGAAGCCGGUAGGCUCUGUUGUUCUCCAUAGUAGCCUCACACUAUAUUUGUUUAUAACUUAUAUUUUAUGAUAUUGUAUAUAUAUUAUAUAGUCCUUACUUUCCUGAUUUUAUGGAGUGAGGACCUUGUCUCCAAGUCCGAUUUGAUAUCGAACUUCAUAAUUGCAAUCCGGCACCGUAAUUUACUAUUAGAAAUGUUUAGAAAUCAAUUUGUUAUUUAAAAAUCAUUAUCAAGUUCAUCUUAAGAGUUGAAAAAUGAACGGUCAUAAAUGAAUAACCUUCUUAAAAUAGAGGUUAGACUUUCUUAGUUCGUUAUCAAAGUUAUCAAACAUUAUCUAAAUAGUAUAAAGAAUUUUCUUUCAAAAAUUCAAACAACUUGAAUUACUCUACACAGUUAAACAGACAAACGGCUCAUAUAGGCCAUCAAAAAUUAUCAAUUUUAUGACACUUUGAUCACCAUAUAAAUAAUUUUUAAAAUUUAUGAAAUUUAGUUUCUAUAUAUUUCAAAUACUCUAGAUCAACUUAAAUAGCUCCGAUCAUCGAUUCGGAAUCUCUAACAUCAAGAAUAAUUUGAUAGGACAAGUGCUACUAUCCCAUUAGUAAGAUAGUAGCUCUAGCCUAUAUAUAUAUAUAUAUAGAGAGAGAGAGAGAGAGAGAGAGAGAGUAGGGCUACUAUACUUUUAUGAGUAUUGGGCCCUUCAUACUCUUAAAUUGUUUUCGAUGAUGCAGCUUCCGAAUCGACAAUCUACUCCGUUAAAUAUGAUCUAGAGUAUUUGAAACUUCUAGAUAAUAAAUUUCGUAAUUUUUCAAAAUCAUAAUAAAGUCCAUCAAGCGGGCAUAAAAUAAAUGGUCAAAAUCAAACGACGUCAUAAAAAUGGAUGAUCGCAUCCUUCAAUUUAAGAUCAGAGUUGUUGAUCUUUAUCUAGAUAGUGAAUAGAAUUUUUUAUCAAAAAUUUAACCUAUUCCGAUUCUUUUCCACCGUUAAACUAGCAAAUAUCUCAUACCGGUCGUUAAAAAUUGUCAAUUUUGUGAGCUUUUGAUCGUAAGGUAAAUGAUGUCGAAAAAUUAUGAAAUUUGAUUUUUACAAGUUUUAAAUGCUCUAGAAAAUAUUUAACGGUAUGGAUCGUCGAUUCGGAAGCUCUAUCAUCGAAAACAGCUUAUGAGUACGAAGGCGAUCGUACUUAUAAGAGUCUAGUAGCCGGACUCUCUCUCUCUCUCUCUAUAUAUAUAUAUAUAGUUCCAGCUCAACUCUCUCUCUCUCUCUCUCUAUAUAUAUAUAGGCUGGGGCUACUAUACUCUUAAGACUAUAGAACCCUUUGUACUCAUAAAUUUUUAACCGUUGAUUGAUGGGAUGUGUGGUUAAGAUGAUGGUGGUCCCCACUUAGAAUGAUAGUGGUCUCCUAGGGUUGAGUGGGUAGUUGAUUGAAUUGUAUGCUCUAACGGGUGAAAAUGAUCAUAGAAUAAAUCUAAGAGCCGAAAACUUAUGAGUAUAAGGGAGCGAAUACUCAUAAAAGUAUAGUAGCCGGACUAUAUAUAUAUAUAUAUAUAUAUAUAGAGAGAGAGAGAGAGAGAGAGAGAGAGAGAGAGAGAGUAGAGAGAGAGAGGGCUACUAUACUCUUAUGAGUAUAGAGCCCUUCAUACU
Molecule: long non-coding RNA, 61476 nt
Filed under: Ananas comosus (pineapple)
Lineage: Eukaryota; Viridiplantae; Streptophyta; Magnoliopsida; Poales; Bromeliaceae
Description: long non-coding RNA (ACOM_LNC031228)
Source: RNAcentral